Long non-coding RNA from Oryctolagus cuniculus (rabbit), 64896 nucleotides. RefSeq lists it as uncharacterized. NCBI's taxonomy places the organism in Eukaryota, Metazoa, Chordata, Mammalia, Lagomorpha, Leporidae. The record is from RefSeq and is a predicted model, not a curated record.
AAGAAUAAUGUUAUAAAGAUGACAAAAUAUUUUCUCAGUUCUUUUUCAUAAUUUCUAAACUAGAACUUCCUGAACAUAUGUGGAUUCAAGAUUGCUAAUCUAAAUCCUUAUGUUGGAGUCUUCGUGAAGGGUGAUAGAUUAUCAUUCUCAGAUUUAUCAGUGACAGUUAACAUAUAAUGUUCCUUUGCAAAGUAUGCAAGCCUAAGAAUAUUCUCAAACAUUGCCAAGACUUAGUAGACAAAGAAUAGAUGUUAUUUUAGACUUCCUUUUUAGCCGAUCUAAAAAAAUAUCUUUAUAGCUAUGGGUAUCUUUGCGUUCACAAGACUUUGUUUUCCCCCUUUUCCCUUUUUGUUGCUUAAAAGCAUUAUUGUAAAAUAGAUUAAUAUAAUUAAUAGAUAAUUAAUAUUGGUAGAUUAACGAAAAUAGAUUCAUAUAACAUAAUUAAUAUAAUCUAAAUAAGAUUAACAUAAAAUAGAUUAAUAUAAAAGUUAUCAUUCUAACCACUCUUAAAUGUACAGUUCUCUGACAUUAAGCACUUCAAUGGUGCUGUGUAACUGUCACUGUUGCCCAUUUUCAGAACUUUGUUGUUAUCUCAGAUAAAAACUCUGUACCCUUUACAUAUUCCUCACUGCCCUCUUAGAUAUAUAAACCUCUAUUGAUAUAUACUUUGCAAAUAUUUUUUCCAUUCUAUAGAUUGCCUUUUUAUUUUCUUGAUGAUGUCUUUUGGCAUGGAAGUUUUUUUUUUUUUUUUUUUUUAUUUUUGACAGGCAGAGUGGACAGUGAGAGAGAGAGACAGAGAGAAAGGUCUUCCUUUGCCGUUGGUUCACCCUCCAAUGGCCGCCGCGGCCGGCGCGCUGCGGCCGGCGCACCGCGCUGAUCCGGUGGCAGGAGCCAGGAGCCAGGUGCUUUUCCUGGUCUCCCAUGGGGUGCAGGGCCCAAGCACCUGGGCCAUCCUCCACUGCACUCCCUGGCCACAGCAGAGGGCUGGCCUGGAAGAAGGGCAACCGGGACAGAAUCCGGCGCCCCGACCGGGACUAGAACCCGGUGUGCCGGCGCCGCUAGGCGGAGGAUUAGCCUAGUGAGCCGCGGCGCCGGCCCGGCAUGGAAGUUUUUAAUUUCAAGUUCAUUUUAUCUAAUUUUGCUUUUGUUAUUCAUGAUUUUGGUAUCAUAUCUAAAAGUCCAUUGCCAAAUCCAUGGAUGUGAAGAUUUACUGUUUUCUUCCGAUGAUUCUAGCUUUUAUACUUGUAUCAUUGAUCCAUCUUGAGUUAAUUUUUGAAUAUGGUGUUAGGUGUAAUGCAGAGUCAUUUAUUUGCAUGUAGAAAUCCAGGGGAUUGCUGUUGGUACAGUGGAUUAAGCCACUGCCUGUGACGCCAGUAUCCCACAAGAGCACUAGUUCAAGUUCUGGCUGCUCCAUGUCUAAUCCAGCUCCCUGAUAGUGGCUUGGGAAAACAGUGGAGGACGGCCUAAGUGCUUGGGCCCCUGCACCCAAGUGGGAGACCUGGGUGGAGUUCCAGGCUCCUGGCUUCAGCCUUGCCCAGCCCUAGCUCUUGGAGCUAUUUGGGGAGUAAACUAGCAGAUGGAAGAUCCUCUCUUUCUCGCUCUUGCUCUUUCUUUCUCUCUUUCUGCCUGUAGCUUUCCCUAUCAAAUUAAAAAAAAAAAUCAGUUGUACUGUCACCAUCUGUUGAAGAGACUAUUUUUUAAAAGAUUUAUUUAUUUAUUUGAAAGGCAGAGAUAGAGAAAAGGAAAGAGAAAGAGAGGAGAGACAGAGAUCUUCUAUCUGCUGGCUCACUCCCCAAAUGGCUGCAACAGCCAGGGCUGGGCCAGGCUGAAGCCAUGAGCCAGGAGCUUCUUCCACAUCUUCCCCAUGGUUGCAGGGACUCAAGGACUUGGACUAUCUUCUGCUGCUUUCUCAGGUGCAUUAACAGGGAGCUAGAUCAGAACUGGAGCAACUGGGACUUGAAUUGGCGGUACCCAUAUGGGAUGCUGGCUGCAGACAGAGGCUUAACCUUCUACGCCACACUGCUGGCCCCCAAGAAGAGACUGUUUUCCUCCACAGAAAGGUACUAGCUUCCUUGUUGGAAAUCAGUGGACUGUAGUUAUAUGAUAUUUAUUUCUGGACUAUUAAUUGUAUUCUGUUGGUCUGUUAGUCUGUCAUUAUGUCAGCACCAUGCUCAUUUGAUUGCCAUAUCUUUGUGGGAAAUUUUGGAAUUGAGAUAUAUAUCCCUUCAUUUUCUUACUAUUUUUUUCAGGAUUAUUAUUGUUCAGGGCCUCUUGAAAUUCCAUAUUAAUUUGAGGAUUGACUUUUCCAUUUCUACAGGGAAGACUUUUGGGGUUUGGCUAGAGAUUGCAGUGUAUAGAUUGCUUUGGGUUGUAUUGCCAUUGUAACAGUAUUAAGUUUUCUAAUCCAUAAGUACAGGACAUCUGUCUAUUUAAUUAGGCCCUUUAAAUUUCUUUAAUGUUUUAUAGUGUACAUGCCUUCUACUUCCGUAGUUAAAUUUAUUCCUGCUAUUUUAUUCUUUUAGAUUAAAAGGAUGUUUUGGUGGAUUCUUUGAUAACUUUCUCUGUAUCAGAUCAUGCCAUUUGUGAAUAAACUUUUACUACUUCCUUUUCAGUUGGGAUGUCUUUUAUUCCUUUUCCUGUUUAACUGCUCUAGUCAGAACUUUUAACAUGUUGGUAAUAGCGAUGGUGAAGGUAGACAUCCUUGUCUUUCAUGUAAUCUUGGGAAGGAAACUUUCAGUCAUCAUUGAGUUGGAUGUUACUGUGGCUUUUUCCAUAAACAUCCUUCAUCAUGGUUAGGAAAUUUCCUUUGAUUCUUAAUUUUCUUAUUGUAUUUAUCAUGAAAGUGUUAGAUUUUAUCAAAUGCCUUGUAUCGAUUGAGUUGAUGAUACAUUUUUUUCAUUAUGUAAGUGUGGUAUAUUGUUCUUACUAACUUUCAUAUGUUGACCAUCCUUGAAUUCUAGGAAUAAAUCUGACUUUGAUCAUGAUGUAUAAUCCUUUUAAUAUACUGCUGCAUUUAGUUUGCUCGUAUUUUGUUCCGGGUUUUGCAUAUAUUUUCUUUUUUUUUUAAAGAUGUUAUUUAUUCAUGUGAGAGGUAGAGUUACAGACAGUGAGAGGGAGAGACAGAGAGAAAGGUUUUCCAUCCAUUGGUUCACUCCCCAGAUGGCUGCAUCGGCUGGAACUGCGCCAAUCCAGCUUCUUCUGGGUCUCCCACAUUGGUGCAGGGGCCCAAGCACUUGGGCCAUCUUCCACUGCCCUCCCAGGCCAUAGCAGAGAGCUGGAUCAGAAGUGGAGCAGCCAGGACUCUAACUGGCACCCAUAUGGGAUGCCAGCGCCGCAGGUGGAGGAUUAACCUGCUCCAUGGCGCUGGCCCCGCAUAUAUUUUCAUAGAGGAUAUUGGUUUAUAAUUUUCUUAUGAUAUCUUCAGUUUGGCAUUAAGGUAAUGCUGGUCUUAUACCAUGAGUUGAGAAGUGUUCUCUUCUUUGAAAGAGUUUGGGGGACUGGUAUUGUGGCAUAGUGGGUAAAGCGGCUGCCUGAGGUGCCAGCAUCCCUUAAGGGCAACAAUUUGAAUCCCAGCCGCUCCACUUCUUAUCCAGCUCCCUGCUAAUGCACCUGAGAGAGCAGCAGAAGAUGGCCCAAGUGCUUGGGCCCUGCUCCCACGUAGGAGACCCAGAGAAAGCUCCUGGCUUUAUAGGUGUGUUGGGUUCUUUCUAUUUCUUCUUCUCCUUUUUUACAUAGAUUUUAUUUAUUUAUUUGAGAGGUAGAGUUACAGACAGUGAGAGGGAGAAACAGAGAGAAAGGUCUUCUGUCUGUUGGUUCACUCCCCAAUGGCCGCAACAGUCGGAGCUGCACUGAUCGGAAGCCAGGAGCCAAGUGCUUCUUCCUGGUCUCCCCUGUGGGUGCAGGGGCCCAAGGACUUGGGCCACCUUCUACUGCUUUCCCAGGCCAUAGCAGAGAGCUGGACAUGGAGUAGCCAGGACAUGAACCGGCCGAUAUGGGAUGCCAGCGCCACAGGCGGAGGAUUAACCUCUUACACCACAGCACCGGCCCCUCUGUUUCUUCUUGAGUCAAUUUUUUGUAAUUUAUGUGGCUGUAGGACUUUGUCUAUUUCUUAUAGGUUUAAGUAAUUUGUUGAUGUACAAUUGUUCAUAGUAUUCUCAUAAUCAUCUGUUUCUUUAAGGUUGAUAGUAAUGUUCCCACUUUGAUUUCUGAUUUUAGUUACUUGCUCUUCUCUCUUUUUUUAAAGAUUUAUUUUUCAUUUACUUGAAUGGCAGAGAUAUAGAGAGAGGAGAAAUGGAGAGAGAGAGAGCACGCGAUCUUCUCCAAGCUCUGGUUCACUGCCCAAAUGUGCCAGACCAGAGCCAGGAGCUCGGAGCCUUCUCCAGGCCUCCCAGUUGGGUGCAUAGACUCAAGCACCUGGGCCAUCCUCCACUGCUUUCCCAAGUGCUUUAGCAGAGAGCUGGAUUGGAAGUGGAGCAGCUGGGUCUCGAACAUCGCAGGCACAGCUUUACUGGCUAUGCCACCACACCGGCCCCUCCCCUCUUUUUUUUUUUUUUUUUUUAAAUAUUAACUUGUUUAUUUUUGAAAGAAUUACAGAGAGAGGGAGAGAGAGAUUUUCCAACUGCCGACUCACUCCCCAAAUGGUCACAAUGGCCAGGGCUGGGCCAAGCUGGAGCCAGGAGCAGGAUCCAGGACAUUUAUCUUGGUCUCCUACAUGGGUGCAGGGACCCAAGCACUUGGGCCAUCUUCUGCUGCUUCCCCAGGCACAUCAGCAGGAAACUGGAUCGGAAGUGUAGGAGCCAGGACUCAAACUGGCACCCAUGUGGGCUGCUGGCAUCUCAGGUAGCAGCUUAACCCAUUAUACCACAGUGCUGGCCCCUCUUCUCUCUUUGUUCUUACUUUAUGUAUGUGUUUGUCAGUUUUGUUGAUUUUUUCAAAGAAGCUACUUUUGGGUUCAUUGAUUUUUCUCUACAGUUUUUCUAUUGUCUAUUUCCUUGAACUCCUUGCUAAUAGCCAUGUCCUUCCUUCUGAUACAUUUAGGUUUAGGUUUAGUUUUUAAUGGUUUUUCAGGUUAUAUAGGUGUUUAUAGUCAUUAAUUUCCCUCUAAAUACUACUUUUGCUACAUCCCAUACGUUUUAAUAUGUUUCGUUUUCCUUUUCAUUCCUCUCAAGGUAUUUUUACAUUUUCCUUGUGAUUUCCUCUAUGUCUCAUUGGUUUUAUCUGAGCAACAGAAGUAGGGGAGUGAGAUGGAGAGGGGAAGAGAGAUGAGGGGGAGAGACAGGAGUGGGAGAGAAAAAGAGAAAAGACGGGCAGAACUCCCAUGUGCUGGUUUCUUCCACAAAUGCCCACAAUAGCUAGGACUGCCCACAAUAGCUAGGAACUCAAUCCAAGUCUCCCAUUUUGGUGGCAAGUGUCCAAUUGAGCUGUCACCACUGCUUUCCAGUGUCUGCAUUGGCAGGAAAGCUGGAAUUGGGACCUGGGAAUUGAACCAGACGCUCUGAUGUGGGACACAGGAGUCUUAGUAGGUAGGCCAAACCCACCCCAUGGGUUUUUAAAGGAGUGUUUAAUUCCAUACAUUUGUGGAUUUUCCAGAGUUUCUUCUAUUCUUUAUUUCUAGAUGUAUUUCAUUGUGGUUGCAAAGUAUAUGUUAUGUGAUUUUAAAAUUUAUUGAGACUUAUUGUGUGGUCUUAACAGGGUCUCCUUGGGAGGUUAUUGUAGAUAAACUUUAGAUGUAUAUUCUGUUGUUUGUAGGAUGUUCUGUGGGUCUGUUAGGGCUAGUUGGCACAUGUGUUGUACAAAUACUGUUUCCUGACUUAUCUUCUCUUAAGUUCUAUAUAUUAUUGAAUGAGAUGUGUUGAAUAUGUUAUUAUAGAACUUCAUUUUUCUCCUUUUACUUCUGCUUGCCUCCUAAAUUUUGGGGUUCUGUAUUUGGUACAUUUAUAUUUCUAAUAAUUAUUUUUAAUCAUUGAUGCUUUUAUUAAUACAUACUAUCCUUUGUCUAAGUGUCAGCAGCAUUUAAGAAAGUUGCUUUAAAGUCUUUGUACAGUAAUUACUUGUUGGCCUUUUCAGAGACAUUAUCUGCCCAUUUUGUGUUCUUCAGUGAACUCUGCCUUGUGAUUUGUUGCUGCUGCUGAACACCAGAUGUGUGAAAACUGUAAUGUUACUUUUCUUUUUUUUUUACGAUUUUAUUUAUUUAUUUGAGAGGUAGAGUUACAGAGGCAGAGACAGAGGGAAAGGUCUUCCAUCCACUGGUUCACUCCCCAAAUGGCUGCAGUGGCUGAAGCUGGGCCAGUCUGAAGGAGCCAGGAGCUUCUGGGUCUCCCACAUGGGUGCAGGGGACCAAGCACUUCCAUCUUCCACCGCUUUCUCAGGCCAUAGCAGAGAGCUGGAUCAGAAGAGGAGCAGCCAGCACAUGAGCAUGCACUCACAUGGGAUGCUGGCGCCACAGGGGAGGCUUAGCCUACUGCUCCACUGCACCGGCCCUAGUGUUAGGUUUCUUGAGAUCAGACUCCCAUUUCUUCCACAAGGAUUAUUCCCAUCCCUCCCUUUUAAAGGCUGUGAUAUCCAUUUUUUAUCAAGUAAGUUUUCCCAACUACUUUUUUUUUUUUUUCCAGGCAGAGUUAGACAGUGAGAGAGAGAGAGAGAGAGAAAGGUCUUCCUUUACUGUUGGUUCACCCCCCAAAUGGCCGCUAUGGCCGGCGCCCUGCGCUGAUCCAAAGCCAGGAGCCUGUUGCUUCCUCCUGGUCUCCCAUGCGGGUGCAGGGCCCAAGUACUUGGGCCAUCCUCCACUGCUCUCCCGGGCCACAGCAGAGAGCUGGCCUGGAAGAGGAGCAACCGGGACAGAAUCUGGCGCCCCAACCAGGACUAGAACCUGGAGUACCGGCGCUGCAGGCGGAGGAUUAGCCAAGUGAGCCACGGCGCCGGCCUGGGCAGAUUGCUUUGAAUUGUAGGAGCUAAAGAAAUAAACAGUAUCUCUCCCAGUCUUGCAGAUUGGCCUUUGCUGGGUCCUUUAGCAGUUACCACACUUGAGCUGGCCAGCAUUCAGGCACAAGGUCUUAGGUGUUUUCUGAGCACGUAUCCCUCCCUGGGCAUGCAUGUGGCUAUCUGAAUUCCCCACAGAUAUGGACGCUUUUGGUUCUCCUGAUUUCCCAGGGAAACGCUCCUUGGCCUUUCCUCUUAGGCCUCAGGUGGUCUGUUGUGUGUCUCAAUUGCAGUUUUUUACUUCUGCUGUCUGAGAAUUUUUCAUCUACCUUACAGUUUUCUUGGGCAGUCCUGUCUACUUUUUCAGUCUGGAUGAAUUUCAAGUUUGUACUUUGCAUCAAUUCUUCAGGUACCCCUUCCUGGUUAAAAUAGGGUUGCCCAGUAAUUUGUGCAUAUGGGUUUGCUGUGCUCCUUUUGGAACCAGAGAGCAGGGUUUGUUUCAGGGACUGCGGGUUGCUGCUGCAUGGGGAGUAGGUAGGGCAAAGAUAAAUAAUGCUGCAAGGCCUUCUUCCCAUUCGAAGUUGACUCUUGAGUCACUGUUGACUUGGUUGCUGUAAACCUUUGACUGCUUCCCAGAGUUCUGAUAAAGUCCAUACGAUUCGGGCAGUUAGUGCUUGUUUUGUUUUGUUUUUUGAUGUUUCAGGUGCAGGGGUGUGGAUGGGCACUUGGAACUGCCUACCUUGACAUUUUUCUGAGUCAGCCUGUCAGACUUUAUUCUCUUGUUGUCGUCCAUUUCAAAACUUGCAGAAAACAUUUCCUUCUUCCACCUCUGCACAUUGUGAAGAUAAGAGAUGCCCUGUUGCUUGUCAAUCUGUUUUUCUCAUCUCCCUAGCAGUCACCUCAGUUUUUGUUGUUCUGCUGUCAGUACACUUGUUACUUAAGUAUUAGUGUUAAUAUUUUCUCUAUUAAAUAUUAGAUUAAAUGCUAGGUUAAAUAUCAUGUUCCUGGAUUUAGGGUAGGCUUCUGUCCCAAUACACCUAUUGUAAGCUGAGCAGAUUGUUAAUUGGAAAUGUAUUUCGUCCGCCUCACCUGCUGAGCACCAUCUCUUAGCAACAGCAGACUGCAGAGUGCCGGUUGCUUCCUUUGCUGGCCUUGCUGGGCCCUGGGACUCCCUGUUGCUACUCGGCAUCAGGAGACACUGCAGAACUGCCUAUCGCUAACCUGGAAAAAGGUCAGCAUGCAGAAUGUGAAGUGUGUUUUCUUUAUUGGCUGUGUGCUGCUUUUGUACCAAUGAAAAGUUAAGAAACUAUAAGUUGAACCAUUGUAAGUCAGCAACCAUCUGUACUAAAUAAAUUUUUUUUUUCUUUAAAGAGCUUUGGUGCUGACUUAGUCCAUUUGGGGUUCUGUAAUGAAAUACUACCACAGUUUGGGGUGCUUGUAAACCACAGAUUUACUUUUUGUGGCUGUGGAGGCUGGGAAGUACAAGGUCAAGGGUUUGCAGAAUUGGGAAGGGUUUGCUUUCCCUCGUGUGGAUGAGUACCUUUUUUCCUAUGUUGGGUCUUUUUUAUAAAAGUAGCUGAGAGCAUUGAUCCCAUUCAUGAGGUGCCCAUUUCCAUGAUCUAAAUCACUUCCUUAGGCUCUACCUCCUAAUACUGUCAUCUUGAGGGUUAGGUUCUAACCUGGGUAUUAGGGCAUGUGUGGACACAGACAUUCAUACCAUUGCAGGUGCCUUGUUAUCUCUAUGACAUCUCUAGGCCAUGUUUUUUCCCCAUGCACUUUUUUUUUAAUGAAAUGCUGUUAAUAGCUUUCUCUCUCUCUCUCUCUCUCUCUCUCUCUUUUUAAGAUUUAUUUAUUUAUUUAUUUAUUUGAAAGGCAGAGUUACACAGAGAGGAGAGGCAGAGAGAGGUCUUCCAUCUGAUGGUUCACUCCCCAGUUGGCCGCAACGGUUGGAGCUGUGCCGAUCCAAAGCCAGGAGCCAGGAGCCAGGAGCUUCUUCCGGGUCUCCCAUGUGGUUGCAGGGGCCCAAGGACUUGGGCCAUCUUCUGCUGGAUUUUCCCAGGCCAUAGCAGAGAGCUGGAUAGGAAGUGGAGCAGCCAGGACUCGAACUGGUGGUAUAUGGGAUGCCAGCACUGCAGGUGGUGGCUUUACCCGCUGCGCCACAGUGCCGAUCUUCCCCAUGCACUUCUGAAACGAUCCAAGGCAAUGGAAAUAUGGUGUUAUAGUUGUUCAUUUACUGACAAAACUGAAGUACAGCUUAAAUAGUCUUAUUUGAUAUUAUGCAUUUCUAGUCAGUUUGCAAAUAUGAAAAGUUAUUCAUUUGAAAGAACAUUAAACAGUGAUCACUGUACAUGGCUUUUUAGGAAUUUAUUGCCCCUUCCUGUAACAUGAGAUGGUGUGUGACAGUUUAUUGAGGAGACAUUCUCAUUAUACAUGAGCUAGAAAUGACCAUUUCAAUGAGCUGGAGACCCUGGGAUGCAAGAAUGCAGAGAGUAUUUUGGGUAUUCCUUAGCUGCUUUUGUCCUAGAUGAACCAUUUUGGUACUGGAUUGGGACUGACUGAAUUUUUAGGAGAAUAAUCUAAGAGUUAAACCUGUUGCAUUUAUUCUGGAGACUGACCUGGGGAAAAACCCCAGGAAACAGUUACUAGUAAACUUUAAUUUCUGUUGAUAGACUCCAAGGAUGGGUUGCCCAGGAGCCCCUGCCAUUUCCCCAGCGACCCACCUUGCUUCUACCUUGUUUGUUCGGUGUAAACCAGAAACAACUUGGUUAAAAGUCCCCUGAAACCAUAGAAGUUGGUGGUCCUGCACUUCACUGCUUCAGAUGGGUAUAGCCAAGCGGCUUGUUGGAUUACUUACUAUUGACAUGUUGCUUCUAGAGGUUUUCUUGUAUUCAAGGCAUAGCUUAACCCUGACCUCACAUUAGUGAGGUGAAAUGGGAAGGUGGCAGGGAAGGCUCCCUCAGUUUACAGAUGAUAAAGAACGCUUCGGUGCCAUGCUUUCUGCACUAAGUGUUGGUCCAGGAAACAGCUCUCCAGGUGUCCAAGGCUGAUCUUCUGUGUUACAUCUGACAAGUGGAUAUUAAGAAAUAGUGCUUAGAGAGGAGCACUGUGGUUAAAAGGUAACAGAGGAGAAAGGAAAGGGGAUUGUCAGAAUCAGAACCCCUCACUGUGCAUGUGCAUGUGUGUGUGUGUGCGCACAUACGUAUUACUGUGUCUGCAUAUGUCUGUAUGGCUAUUAUAUUUUGGCCAUAUACCUUAUAUUCUUUUUUAAAUUAAUUUAUUUAUUUGAAAGAGUUACACAGAGAGAAGGAGAGGCAGAGAGAGAGAGAGAGAGAGAGAGAGAGAGAGGUCCUGCAUCCACUGGUUCACUCCCCAAUUGGCUGCAACAGCCGGAGCUGUUCCGAUCCGAAGCCAGGAGCCAGGAGCUUCCUCUGGACUUCCCAUGUGGGUGCAGGGCCCCAAGGACUUGGGCCAUCUUCUGCUGCUUUCCCAGGCCAUAGCAGAGCGCUGGAUUGGAAGUGGAGCAACCGGGUCUCGAACCGGCAUCCACAUGGGAUUUUGGCAAUGCAGGUGGUGGCUUUACCUGCUGUGCCACAGCGCCAGCCCCCAUACACCUUAUAUUCUAACUCCUGGUUCUUCUGGAAGUAGCAAAGCUUUUAAAACAUUAACUUAACAAGAACCUCUUGAAUUUUCACUUCAAACCCCUCCCCCACUUUUUUUCCUCUUUCUGAACUUUCAUUUUCCCCACAGGACUCCCAGGGAAGAAGAGUUAGAAAAACAUAAAUGUAGGGGCAGUAAAACUGAGGGCAAAGGGCUAAUGAGAGCUCUGAGCUAGUGCUGGGAAAGAGCUUGAACCCCAGGGCUAGAGAAAAGGAAAAAGGCUACAGUACCUAGAGUAAUUGACCUCAUUCAUAGCAUGACUGCUAUGACACACAGUUGCAGAGUUAGAUUUGUAAAGGAUCAGAGGACUGUGGGCUCUGCUUGAGGCACUUUUCCAACCUCACUGCUGUAUCUGAAUCGAAGCCGAAGUCUGUGGGAUGAUUGGCUUUUUGACCGUGAAUAGGCAGGCCCAGUAGGGAAGCAGGUAGGAAGCAGCGCGGGCCUGGUCAUGGCCUCUUCUGCCCAUUGUAGACAGAACAGUUGUAUGCGGGAAGCCAGCACCGAGCGACUCUCCCAACUCACUUUCACGUUCCCGCUCAGAAGCGCACCUCUGGAACUCACCAAGGCAGUGGGGCUGAGGGAUGCUUGUCUUUCUGAUGUCUCUUUAUACUUUUUUCCUGCGUGCGCUUUUCAACGAGAGCUUGGGCAGGGAGCACAGAGAUUUAGGACAAAGUGAAAUUUAAACCUUUUCUUUAGCCCUGUGGUCUUGAACAAGCUACUGAAUUCUCUCUAGCCCUGUUCCUCAACUGGUAAAUGAGGUAACAAUACUACAUCCACCUCAUAGGUAAAACACAUUAGUUUAUAUUCAUAGAUAGUGCUUAACACAAAGUGCUGUAUAAAUGUUGCUGGAAACUUAAAAAAUGAGCAAUGGACUAUGCAAAGAACAAAAUUAUAUAUUUUAUUCCAUCUAAAUAACGGAUUCCACUUUUUGCCCUUAGAUUUUAUUAUGAGACUAGAUUUUGUCACGGAUAACUCUCUCUAGGAGAUAUAGGGAGAUAGUUAAAUAUAUGAUCAAAGAAAGGCAUGAUAUAUGCAGACUUGGGUGGAUUUUGUGAAACUUAGUAACAGGUCAAGCCUGAGAAAUGACAGUGAUGACAAAAGACAGUCUGUCCAUCGCAUUAUCCUUGCAGCUAAAAUUAUUUAUUAGAAUUAGACACAUUUGGAAAUGUAUUUGUUAAUCCUUUAUCCUGGGGAAAACAAGCCUUGCAGUACUUACUAUUUACACAAAGCUAUUUUUAAGACCCUCUCAUAUUUGAAAGAAUGGUAGUUGGGGUUGACCCUCACAGAGUAUGGUUUUAUAUUUUCUAAUAAUUUUUGUUGUUACAUUUAUUGAUUUAUGUCAUUGUAAGUGGCUCUGAUUUUAUUAGAAAAUAAUUUUGGUUUUAUCACUUGCUUUUGGUGUGGUAUUACAUGAGUUUAUGUAAAGGGUUCUAGCUGCCCUGGUUUCAUGUGCAGGGGGAAUGGGUUGCAUAAAGUAACUUGUUUCUUUUUGAAAAAGAACUGUUUUCUUUUUCCUUUUGUGAUCUAACUGGACGCCUGGGUCCAGAAGGAGUGGCUGGACUGAGGAAGAGGUGAGAGAUGAGUAUCAAGUAGACACGUCUUUGAUGUCACAAUGCAUCUGUUCUGUGUGGUUCUGCUGGGAAUGGCCAUUGGCUGCGAAGUCACUGGUAGUGGUUUAGCGAGUAGCUAAAACUGUUGUAACUCAUUAGAGUUCUUGUUCUGGCUCCCAAGUGUCACUCAGACCAUCUUAAAACUUAAGAGCUCAUUGCUUUACUGGGUUAACCUCUAGAUAUUUUGUAGUAAUGUUUAAAAUUUUUAAGGUGAUCAGAAGGUAGAUUCUUUUAUGUAAGUGACACACACACAACAGAAAAGUGCUUCAUAAUUCAUGGAGAAGAAAGUAUGUUCUGUGAUUUUUCACUGCCAAAUUAUUGGAAUUUUCUUUUUUUAAAAAAUAUUCAAUUUACUUUCACUGCUGGUUCACUCCCCAAAUGCCUGCAACAGCCAGGGUGGGGCCAGCCUGAAGUCAGGAGCCCAGAGCUCAGUCUGGGUCUCUCACCUGGUGUGACAGGGACCCUUAAGUACUUCGGCUGUCACCUGCUGCUUCCCAUGGGAUGCAUUAGCAGGGAGCUGGGUUGGAAGGAGAGGAUCUGGACAAACCAGCUACUCUGGUGUAGGACGUGGCUGUCCCAAGCAGCAUUUUUUUUAAUAGAUUCUUAAAAAAAAUUUUUUUUUGACAGGCAGAGUUAGACAGUGAGAGAGAGAGACAUAGAGACAAAGGUCUUCCUUUUUCUGUUGGUUCACCCCCCAAGUGGUUGCUACGGCCGGCGCACUGCGCCCAUCUGAAGCCAGGAGCCAGGUGCUUCCUCCCGGUCUCCCAUGCGGGUGCAGGGCCCAAGGACUUGGGCCAUCCUCCACUGCCCUCCCGGGCCACAGCAGAGAGCUGGACUGUAGUUCUUCUGGGCUGGAGGAGGAGGAGAGGCUUCUCCUGGGUGUACUCUGUGGAGGUGAAUCGGCUCUCUAAUUCAGUAGCGUCCCCACAUGCAAUAUCUCCUCCCCCCUGCCCCGCCCCAGUUGUCUAUAUCCUUAACUCUUGGAUGCCGGUUUCUCUGCUCGCUCUCCUAAGACAUUGUGGAGGCUUUCUCUUUUUUGACUUCUUUUUACAAUUAAGUGUGUUUCUGCCUCAGCAAAUAAAAAUAAUCUGAUUAUCUUGGGCCAAUCACUUAGUUUCUGUUGCCACUGUUUGCACAUAUGAUAUAUGAUGGAGUCAGAUUACUUUCCAGAUGUGAAUUUCUGGAAGUAGGAUGAGAUUGACCCUUUGGUAGGCCUUUUCUUGUUUUCUUUUUCUUUGUAAUGUUGCAUGGUGCUGUGUGUUUGCUCUGACGCGGGUCACUAAGCGCAGUGCCUCUUUACCGAAGCAGGCUAACCUCUUACUCUUUAGCUUCCUUCUUUGUUAGUGAAGCCAAUCAGAAUUUUGAGUUGCAGUCACUUUGAUAUAGUUUAGUAUGUACAAUUAUAUGCAUAUAUUAAAUAUUAAAGUAUGAGCAAUGAUAAGAAAGAUCCUCUCAUCACUUCUAAAGGGACUUGCUAAUCAGUAAAGUUUAUGAGGGGUUUAAAAUGCUGCCAGCUUUGUAAAGAGCUAUAGGGACCACUUAGAGUUUUCGCAACAUAACUGGAAAGAUAAAGACUUCUGAAAUGAAAGAAUGACCAGGUGCUGUGUCUUGUGCUGUAAGUGCAGUUCUGCCACAGAGUACAACCAAAAUGCUUGCUUGUCCUGUUUGCCGACAACUACCAUAAUGCCCAGGUUAGUGAAAAGGGUUGAUGACAGUCUAGAUUUGUAGAAUUGCUAUGAGCAAAGGCACUGGGUGGUAAACUAGGCUGAUGGGGGUGGGGAGGGGAGAGAGUGAAGGGAGGAUAUGGGUGGCUCUGUGAUUUGGACACCGAGUACCCUCUUUAAGGAUUGGGAAAUUUGCCAGUGUAAGUGGUGUGGGAAGAUAACUUUAAACUCCAGCCAGAGGCAUUUAGAUUGGAGGCAAGGGGAGUAUCUGUUCACAACAAUAGCUUUUUCUUGAAUUCCAUUUCAUAUCCUUGAUUUCUUGAAUUGAACUUCCCUUAGGUACUUUGGAUGGGGUCCUAUUUGCAGUUUUGAUCGGAUUGAUUUUUUUUUUUUUUAAUUUUAUUUGAAAGGCAGAGUUCGAGGGAGAGACAGAGAGAGAUCUUCCAUCCAGUGGUUCUCUCCCCAAAUGACUGUGGCAACCUGGGCUGGUCAGGCUGAAGCCAAGAUCCAGGAACUCAAUCCUGGUCUUCCACAUAGGUGCAGGGACCCAAGGACUUGGGCCAUCUUCCAUUGCUCCAUUGCUUUCCCAGGCCUAUAGUAGGGAGCUGGAUGGGAAGUGGAGCAGCCGGGACUCUUGUAUGAGAUGCCAAUGGCACAGGCAGUGGCUUAACCUGCUCUGCCACAAUGCUGGCCCCUGAUUGAAGGUUUUUUUUUUUUUUUAAUAUUUAUUUAUUUAUUAUUUAUUUGAAAGUCAUAGUUUCAGAGAGGAGAGGCAAAGAGAGAGAAAGGGCUUCCAUCUGAUGGUUCACUCCCCAGUUGGCCGCAACUGCUGGAGCUGUGCCCAUCCAAAGCCAGGAGCCAGGAGCUUCUUCCGGGUCUCCCAUGUGGCUGCAGGGGCCCAAGGACUUGGACCAUCUUCCACUGCUUUCCCAGGCCACAGCAGAGAGCUGGAUUGGAAGAGGAACAGGCGGGACUAGCACCAGCGCCCGUAUGGGAUGCCGGUGCUUCAGGUCAGGGCGUUAACCCGUUGCACCACAGCGCCAGCCCCAGAUUGAAGGUUUUAAUGAGUCUCCUUCCCUUUGCUGUUUUCUAAUCUCGGCAUAACAUUUUAGAAUAUGAAAUUGGAAGGGUCCUUGGGGUUAAUCUGAUCCGCCCUCCUGCCCAGUGCAGGAAGCACACCUUAGUUUUUGUAAUGAUUGUUCUGUUGCUGUAAACCAUUUUUAAAUGGAACACUUUACAUUAGAUUUCAUUCUUGUGAUAAAACCUGCCUUUCUUAGCUUUAUCCAGAGCUCUACAGUCUUUUUCCAUUUUCUAGAUUUUUUUUGGAUAUUUGAAGACAGUUAUGGUGUCUCCUUCUAAAUUUUAUUUUCUCCAUCUAAAUAUUUUGCUUUCUCUUUAUAUUUCAAGAUUCCCCACCAUUAUUUUUGUCCAUCUUUUUGUAUUGCCUAUCUUACUGAAUAACCAGAAUUGAACAUAAUACCCUUUUGAAAAAUCAAUUAUGAUGUUUGUAGCAGCAAAAACAGAAAGCUCCUUUUCAUCUGGCUUAAAAAAUGAGAAUUUACUUUUUUCAAUUCUGAGAUAAACCUUUUCGUAUUUGAACAUUACUGAAAUUGAGGUGUGUGGUACAUUUAAGUAAAAGGCAUGUCAGUUAGGUCAGCAGCCUUUUCUCUUGAUGAUUCAUAAAAUAAUGAUGUGUCUUUCCAUUGCUGAAACAUGCUGUUAUCUCAGAUGGCCAGGGCUCUCGUUAUUCCAUGGCCACGGUCACAGUGAGGACCCAGUGUGGCCGAUGUGCGUUUGGCUUGUCCUCCCCGGGUUGUGAGUCGGCUGCAACGGUUCUAAGCAUCAGAUCAGCAGUCCACAGCAUCUGAAGGCCAGGAGAGAUAAGAUUCCUCCUUUAUGUCUUUUUUAAGAGUAAACAGAAUUUCCAGAUGCUGCCCCUCCUUGGUUAAGCUUGUCACACAGCCAUUUCUAAGACAGUCAAGGGGAAGAAACAGGUGUUACCAUUGUUGACUUAUUGGUUCUCUGUCAGUGGUUCACAAUUUGUGUGCACCAGCAUCACCGUGUGUGUGUGUGUGUGUGUGUGUGUGUGUGUGUGGAGGGGAUUGUGAAGACCGUUUGAUUAGUGGGCUGGGGGUGAGGCCUGAGGAUUUGCAUUUCGCACAAGCCCCUGCUUGAUGCUGAUUCUGCUGGGCCAGGAAAUGAGAUGGGUCCAGUGUCUCUGACAGCACAAGGCCACUUGGUAACCAGUCAAAGCCAUGGCUGCAUUUGUUAGCAAGAAGUGAGCUCUAAAUCCAUGUUCUUCUCAGGUGUUGUAACACACUGAAAUGUAGUUGUUACCGGCGGGUUGUCCAGAAUGUCUUAUUAGCAGUAUGCUAAGUUUGGAGAAUGAUACUUAUAUCAUAUACAGUUGAUCAGGUAGACUGAAGAUGAGAUUUGUUCCUCCAAUGUGCUUUCUGGUGGGGCAGAGGGAGGGUCCCUAGUCAAUGAUGACAGAGAAUUGGGCACACCUGUGGUAACACGUGCAUGCAGUGCACAUUGAAGAUAGCUGAUGUAUAGCACCUAAUCUGAAUGUCAGACUAAAUCCCUGCAGGAGCUGCUGUUAUGUCCACUUUCCUAAACGAGAAACUGAGGCCCCAGUAAUUUGCCCAGUGUUGUACCAUUGCUUAGUGGUAGAGCUGGGUUUCAGAAUAUGCAGUGGCCUCACAGCCCAUACUUUUUUGUUUGUUUUCUUUUUUAAAGAUGUAUUUAUUUAUUUUAAAGUGAGAAUUACACACACAGAGACACUCUUCCAUCUGCUGGUUCACUCCCUAGAUGACUGCAGUGGCUGGGGCUGGGGACUUGUGGAGCGGUGGGGACUUGAACCGGCACCCAUAUGGGAUGCCAGCACUGUAGGCGGUGGUUUAACAUGCUGCGCCACAACGCUGGCCCCGUAGCUUGUGCUUUUAACCAUCCGUUCCACUGUAUGCCAUCAGGCUUCUGUAAGAAAGGUGAGGCUGAGAGGUUCAUUCUGUGUUUUCAGCUUGUGUGCAGAAGAGAGGGAUUAGUGUUCUUGUAAUUCCUCCCUCCCACUGUGAUUCACUUCUACAUAUAUUUGUGCCAUUGAUUCCUUUGAAUGUAAGUGUGAAACUUAAAGCAUUACGGUGACUGUGUGAGGUUUCGGUAUCUAUGCAUUUUAUAGAGAGGAGGGAGUAGAGACCUGCUGUUGUCGAAUGUUAGGGUGUGGAGGUAAAUUUGCUUUGGGAGAGGGAUUAUGUUGGUCACCGUCUCCAUGGCAAGUGAUGACUUCAGUACACAGGUUUUUAGUUGCUCCAGAAUUGUGGGGAGAACUAAGAGUCCUUGAGGCCAAGCCCCCACACACAGACAGGAGAGCUGGGCCGCCUCGCUUCUUGCUGCACGUUGCUUAGUCCUUUCCGCCUGGCCGUCCUGAGACACUUGCCUGGUUCUCUUGCUUGAGGCUUUGUGGGAGUUCCUCAUUUGCCUGUACUCUCAUUCCUCCUCUCUCCUUGGCUCAUGUUUAUCCCUCUGGCCUCAUUCUAAAUUUUAUGUUAAAAACUUUCCUGCUUUCCUGCUGUAAUCUUGCAGAGAUAUAUAGAUAUCUCUGCUGCCUGCUUCCAUUGUCCCCGCAUUCCCCCUGUCCUGGUUACCUGAUUGUUAGUUAGUGCUUAGUAGGUUGCCUUUCCCUACUCCUCACUGUGCCCUAUUACCUUGCUCCAUGUGGUAGUGAGUUGGGUGAUUCACAUUUGGAAAGUCAUUGAUUGUGCUUUGGGAGCUUCAUUAUCAAGAAAUAGAUGCCAGUCACUGACUUCUAAGUUGUAAUGUGUAAUUUUUGUAAUUAUAAUGAGCUUAGCAGAUUUAUGCUUUUGUUUGAAUUAACACCCUUUAUAAUAUGUCUAAUGUAACUUAAGAUCGAGCAGUUGGUCUCUUUGCUAAAUUCUUUCAAGUUUGGAUAGUAGUGAUCUGAGAGGUUGUAACUAGAGAAAAAGACUCUUAAAAAAAUCAAACUUGCUUUUGAGUAAUUUUAGGUUGACAGAAACUUUCCAUAUACUCCUUGACCAGUUUUCCCCAUGGUCAGCGUCUUCUGUUACCCUGGGGCAUUUGUCUAAACUUAGAAACUAACAUUGCUAGGGUCUGCUCUGUGGUGCAGCAGUUUAAAGCUCUGGCCUGCAGUGCCAGUUUCCUGUAUGGGCGCUGGUUUGAGUUCCGGCUGCUUCACUUCGAAUCCAGCUCCCUGCUAACGCACGUGGGAAAGCAGCAGGUCCUUGGGCCCCUGCACCCACGUGGGAGACCUGGAAGAAGCCCCUGGCUUUAGCCCAGCUCCAGCUGUUGCAGCCAUUUGGGGAGUGAACCAGCAGAUGAAAGACUCUCUCUCUCUCUCUUUCUCUUUCUCUGCCUCUGCCUCUUUGUAGUGACUUUCAAGUAAAUAAAUAAAUAUUAAAAAAAUAAAAACAUUACUGCUUGACUUGACUUUGCUGGACCUCAUCCGUUUUCCUAUUCAUGUCUUCUCUCGGUCCCCAGCGUGCAGUUCACCACGCAUCUUACUGUCAUGUAGUCUCCCCUGGACUGUGACAGUUUCUCAGUCUGUCCUUGUGGUUCGUAACCUAGUAGUUUUGGGAAAGACUGGUCGGGUGGUUUGUCGAACGUCCCCCAAUUUGGAUCUCCCUGACAUUCACCUCAUGAUUAGACUGCAGUUAUGGUUAUGGAUGUUUGGGAAAAUAGCCCAGCCGUAAAGUGCCCUUUGCGUCACGUUGUAUUAAGGGAUGUGUGAUCGUUACAUGACGUGUGGGUGAGGUUAAUCUCCAUCACUUGGUUAAGGUGAGCUUGGCCAGUCCAAGGUACUCUUUUCCCCUUUCUCCACUCUCCUUUUUGGAAGCAAGCCCCUCAGUCCAGUCCCCCUCCAGAGCCGUGCGUAGGUGUGAUCUGGUGAUGGAACGCCACCUCCUGGAGUGGGAAGUUCAAGUUAUUUAGGGUUCUCCUGUGAAUAAGACUCAUGUUUUUUCUUGCCUCCAAAUAGAUGUUUUUACUUAUCACUGUGUACUUUGUAGAACGUUGAUGACAGUUUUUUUUUUUUUUUUUAAGAUUUAUUUAUUUGUUAGGAAGAGCUACAGAGGGAGAGGGAGAGAAGAGGGAGGAGGAAGAGAGAGAGAAGAGAGAGAGGGAGAUGGAGAUCGAUCUUCCAUCUGCUACUUCACUCCCCAAAUGGCCGCAAUGGUCAGGACUAGGCCAGGCUGAAAGCCAGAAGCCAGGAACUGCAUCCGGAUCUCCUACAGGGGUAGCAGGGGGUCCAAGUACUUGGGGCCAUAUGUUGCUGCCAUCUCAGGCACAUUAGCAUUAAAUUUAGCAAGGAGCUGGAUCAGAAGUGGAGCAGCCGGGACUCGAACAAUGCCCAUAUGGGACACUGGCACUGAAGGUGGUGGCUUUACCCACUGUGCCACAGCGCUGGCCCCUGAGGGGCAGUACUUUUUAACUUCUUUGGAAUCACCCUCCCUUUUGGGAAUUGCUAUAGAGUUUUUCUCCAAAGACAUUAGGAUACACAGAGUUCCUGUAUGAUUUUAGGAGUUUUCCAGCUCUUUGAAGCUCCUAGGGCUUCAGCUAAGAGAUUACUUUCCUUCCAGUCGUUGAGCUCAGUUGAGGAGACAGGCAAUGAGGAAGUGGAGCCCUGCCUGUUGCCUCCUGUUAGGAAGCUCUGUGCAAAGUUAAGGCAGCAGUUUUACUUUGGGUGCGAGUAUAGAAAAAGCUACGGAGAGGGGAUGUUACUUGAAUUUGUUCUUUAUGACUGAGAAAAAGUUAAAUCAACACAAGGGGGCCCUCGACCUGUGACACUGGCAUCCCACAUGGGCACUGGUUCGAGUCCUGUCUGCUCCACUUUCGAUCCAGCUCUCUGCUAUGGCCUGGGAAAGCAGUAAGAGGUGGCCCACAUACUUGGGCCUCCACACCCACAUGGGACACCUAGAAGAAGCUCCUGGCUCCUGGUAUCCGAUGGGCUCAGCUAUCUGUUGUGGGCAUUUGGAGUGAACCAGUGGAUGGAAGAUCUGUCUGUCUCUUCCUUUCUCUGUAACUCUGCCUCUCAAAUAAAAAAAAUCUUAAAAAAAAAUCAACAAAAGGUUGGGAAAGCAUUCUUACUAUAUACAACAAAACCAGCAAAGACUUAGGCUAAAGUGCCUGGCUUGUUUUCAGAUGUUUUGGAGUUGGUUGAAGACUCUGAUCUUGCCACAGCAAAAAGUGAAGUGAGAGGUGGGCUGGAUAUAAAAUUAGGGCUGGGGGAGGUAGGAGAAGGCACUGAGUGGAAAGAGAAUCAGAUAAACUUCUCAGUUUGUGCAUUUUGAAGUAUUUAAUUGACUAAUAAUUUUAUACAUAAAUUAUUUUCAUCUUUAGUUUUAUGUCUCAGUAAUUUACUGCUUGCAUCUUAUAUGCAUGAAUUAAGGAGUGAGGAGGAGGUGAAGAAGUGCAGAAUAGGAGGUUUUCUGUGAAUGGGUUUGAGGAGAGAACCAGAAGAAAGUGUGGGGGUCCAGAGCAGUUUGUUUUGCUUUCCGUGGGGAGAGAGUUGCCUGUGUUUAAAUAGCAGGGGUGGUCUCAGUAGAAGGCUCCUGGCAAGGUGGAAAGGUUGUGCCACUGCAUUAGAGAGGAGGCAGAUGUGAUUGCGGGCGUAUUUAAUUGCUAGUGUGCAGUGACUGUAGAAGGCUAGGCUUGUAUAAAAGUUACGGUCGGCUUACGGUUCACCUGUGGCCUGAACUGCCAUCUUUCUGUUGCUUUACUCAGUUCCUUCAAUUAAUGUAUUUGAGGUACUUGCCAAGGUAUGGUGAUAGAAGAGAGUCAGAGUCCAGGACACAGAGCAAAAACAUAAAAGGAUCAAAAAUACUACAGUUCUUUCUCCUGCUUUGGGCUGCAGGAUUUAGCCAGAGUAGUCUAGCUUCAUGAGUAUUUUUAGGGUGCUUGGAGAAAUGAAGUUAGGGUCUGUGAUAGUUUAUUUUGUUAGUUUUCUCUUAAAAAAUUUAUUUAAUGUGUUUGAGAGGCAAGAGGACUGGGAGAGGGAGCAAGAGAGCAAACGAGCGAGCAAGCAAGCAAGCGAGCAAGCUUCCAUUUGCUGGCUAAUUCCCCAAAUAGCUGUAACAGCCUAGGGCAGGAGCCAGGAGCUCAGUCUGGGUCUCCCGCAUCGGUGGCAGGGACCCAGAUCCUGGAGCCAUCACCUGCCACCUCCUUGGGAUGCACACUCACAGGAAGCUCCAGGAUGGGGCGCGUCGUCUUUAGUGUUGUCCCCACCCCUCCGCAGUUUCUCCUUUAGAAAUGAGCUCAGCGGUGCCUGCACUGAGUGAGUGCCCGCUUGAAUCUUCCUUGCUCUCGACAAUUUUACCCAUAAGCUACAAAGAAGACUAAUUCUUAGGGUGACCUCUUUUUCUUUUCUUUUAACUUAGACCAGUGUUAAUUUCUAUUCUGAUAGAUUCUAUUUAAAGGAAUUGAACCUUUUAUGAGGAAAAUUAUUCCUAAAUAAAGCAUUAAAAUUUAGCACAUGUUUGAACAUAGGUUUGACCUCAUGCUUAACAAAAGGAGGUUUUACUUGUAGUCGUAAAGCCCUUUGGCCAUGGCAUUAAUUGACUUUGGAAAUUAAUUUAAAAUGAGACUUCAUUACGCAGUGCAUCUGUAUUUUUUUUCUUCUUCUCUAAAUCCUUAGUGAAAUCAUAGGCUCCUCACUCAAAAUAUUCAAACUAUAUAGUGAAGUGUUAUUGUUGAAAAACUAUUAUUGGAUUAAAAAUGAGCAGUGCUCACUUUAAAGAAACAUUUUUCCUCUUGUGAUGGAUUUUUGCAGAGAAUUGUUAAUAAAAAUUCAUAGUCUACUAAAAAUACACUGGAACUUUUUUUUUUUUAAAGAUUUAUUUAUUUGUUUGAAAGGCAGAGGCAGAGAGAGAGAAAGAGAGGGAGAGAGGUCUUCCACCCACUGAUUCACUUCCCAAAAGGCCGAAAUGGCUGGAGCUGGGCUGAUCUGAAGCCAGGAGCUGGGACCUUCUUCCUUUUCUGUCACUCGGGUGCAGGGGCCCAAGGACUUGAGCUAUCCUCUGCUGCUUUCCCAGGUGCUUUAGCAGAGACUUGGAUUGGAAGUGGAACAGCCGGGACUUGAAGUGUUACACAUAUAUGUUGUCACACUGCAGGCCAGGGCUUUAACCACUGUGCCACAGCGCCAGCCCGAAGCUUGACCAAUGGAUUGCCCAAGCAGUUGAACUUGGUCUGCAGGUCUACUGAUUCUUUGUGACUCAAACCACCACCCUAAAUCACAUGGUUGGAUUUCCUGGCAUACCCUGAGGUAUAAUGUUACCAACCCCACCCUAAGCAAGGACUUUUCUCUUUCUUGCUCUCUUUUUGUUAAAGAUUUAUUUUAUUCAUUUGAAAGGAAGUUAGAGAGAGAGAGAGGGAAAGGUAGAGUGAGCGUGAUCUUCCAUCUGCUGGUUCAUUCCCCAAAUGACCCCAAUGGCCAGGGCUAGGCCAGGCUGAAGCCAGGAGCUGCAAGCAUCGUCUGAGUCUCCCGCAUGGGUGCAGGGGCCCAGGGACUUGGGCCAUCUUCUGUUUUCCCAGGCCGUAGCAGAGACCUGGAUUGGAAGUGGAGCAGCUGGGACACGAACUGGUGCUCACUGCAGACCAGGGCUUUAACCCUCUGCACCACAGCGCUGGCCCCUGAAAAUAUUUUGAAAGAAGCAGCAGUAUUUGUGGAUGGUUUAGAUAUGUGUAUGAGAAAAAGAAAGGAAGAAGUCCAAGGUACCUCUUAAGUCUCCGUUUAAGCAACUGAAAGGAUGGCAAUCUUAGUACUGAGACACUGGAAAGCCAACUGUCCAUCAUCAGAAUCAGAUGGCUCCCAGCUUUACCACUGACUAAGAAGAAAUCCUAUAAACCAGUCCUAUACUGACAGUUUACUGCAGCUCCUGAAAAGAAAAUCAUUCCUCGAGUUUCAGAUAACUUGACAAAAAGCCGUUGUAUUUUAUAACCCCCGUGUCAGGGCUCCAAAUGAACAAAAGACCAACUUAUGUGACGUUGUUCCUCAUGUGUCUAAAACUCAUUUAGCUAUUUCUGAUUACUUCCGAAUGGCAUGGUAGUAGAGUUUCUGUACCUAACAUUAUUCAACUUGUAUGAACCGUUCACAAUUUGGAAAUUCUUAUUCUGUGUGUUAUACAUGCUGCAUGCAUGAGUUAUGCCAUUUUUCUUUUCUAAUAGAGGCUCUAGUUUCUUCUUGCUCUCUGUUGACAAGGUGAGUGGGUAUUUUUUGGGUGAGCUCAGCUGUUCCUUUAGCUCAGUUUCUUCACUGAGUUGAACUGCGAAUGUUGGCACUAGUGAUGCUUCUCUGGGUAUUCUGAAAUCGUCUCACUGUAUUCCAGUUGUAAUACUAAGGAAUUAAACUCUUUCGAAGAGCAACACUGUUACUAUUUCUCUGCAUUGGUUCUGUGCUCCUAGUCAGGAUAACAAACCAUUUAUGCAACUGUCUGUAUCAGAAUGUCCUCUGCCAGCAUGUGUCUGGGCUGCUUUCAAGCCCCAGUAAUCCAGGACUGUUCUUGUUGAAUUAAUGGAAACUAGGACUGCUUAGGAAAGUAGGCAUCAUUGGGAAUUUGACUGGGUGAUACUUAUUUGCAAUAGUGGUUGAAAAGUAUAACUAGAAAAAGGGCUGGCGCCGCGGCUCACUAGGCUAAUCCUCUGCCUAGGGGCGCCGGCACACCGGGUUCUAGUCCCGGUCGGGGCGCCGGAUUCUGUCCCGGUUGCCCCUCUUCCAGGCCAGCUCUUUGCUGUGGCCAGGGAGUGCAGUGGAGGAUGGCCCAGGUGCUUGGGCCCUGCACCCCAUGGGAGACCAGGAAAAGCACCUGGCUCCUGGCUCCUGCCAUUGGAUCAGCGCGGUGCGCCGGCUGCUGCGGCCAUUGGAAGGUCAACCAACGGCAAAGGAAGACCUUUCUCUCUGUCUCUCUCUCUCUCACUGUCCACUCUGCCUGUUAAAAAAAAAAAGAAAAAAGAAAAAAAAAAAGUAUAACUAGAAAAAAAAAUACUCAAGCUAGUUGAGGAUCAAAUUGCUGUUUCUUGGCUUGUAUGUUAAUUCUCUGGCUUAAUUCCAUUCAUGUAUACAAAAGCAAGCAGAUUAGUGAAAUAAAGCUGUUAGAUGUUAUGAAGUUAAAAUAGAAUGAGAUUGAGAAUCUUUUUCCAAAAUCUGUAAUUAUUAGGAGAAAAAUUCAAUGACAGUUCUUAAGUUGCAAAAAAUCUUAUCCUAGUGGGAAUAAAUCAGUAAGUGGUGGAGCACAUUUACUUUUCCUCUCUUCCUCCCUUUAUCCUUCCUGUGAUUACACGUCAAGGUUCUAACCUUUAAUAAGCCCACUAAAUUAUUAUAUGACAUUAGCCUUAAGGUGUGUUCCCGGGGGCUGGCGCUGUGGCAAGUGGGUUAAUGCCCUGGCCUGAAGCGUCGGCAUCCUAUAUGGGCGCCGGUUUGAGACCCCGCUGCUCCAUUUCCCAUCCAACUCUCUGCUAUGGCCUGGGAUAGCAGUGGAGGAUGGCCCAACUCCUUGGGCCCCUGCACCCAUGUGGGAGACCCUGAGGAAGCUCCUGUCUCCUGGCUUUGGAUUGGCGCAGUUCUGGCCAUUGAGGCCAAUUGGGUGUGAACCAUGGGAUGGAAGACCUCUCUCACUCUCACUCUCACCCUAACUCUCACUCUCACUCUCACCCUAACUCUAUCUCUCCCUCUCCUCUCUCUCUCUAUAAUUCUGACUUUCAAAUAAAUAAAUAAAUCUUAAAAAAAUUGUGUGUGUCCUUGAAUGGCAUAGAUGAGGCUGACUGUGUAUGCCCAGAUAUUUUGGGGAAUCUGAGACCUCAGACUCUUCUCCAGAGAGCUUCCAGGAGACCCACUGUAGAUGAGCAAGAGCCUUCACAUCUCUUCAGAGAUGAUUCCUCCCAACCAAAGUCCCAAGGCUUAGGCCACUAAUUUAGUCUGGUACUUUUAACUGGACAAUUUUCUUUAAGGUCUUACUUGAAUUCUGUAUGUUUUACCAAAAGCUUUAUAUGCCCUUAAUUUAAAUAGAGGGGGACCUCUCUGUUUUUAUAGUAAGCUUAAUUACCAUGGUUUUCCUUUUUCCUGUGAUCAUCUUGAUCAUCAGACCAUCACUGUACUCAGCCUUCAGUUUAAUGUCAUUUUUUUUUUUAAAGAUUUUAUUUGUUUAUUUGAGAGGCAGAGUUACAAACAGUGAGAGGAAGAGACAGAGAGAAAGGUCUUCCAUCCAUUGGUUCACUCCCCAAUGUCCGCAACAGCCGGAGCUGUGCCUAUCUGAAGCCAGGAGCCAGGAGCUUCUUCUGGGUCUUCCACACGGGUGCAGAAGCCAAAGGACUUGAACCAUCUUCUACUGCUUUCCUGGGCCAUAGCAGAGAACUGGAUUGGAAGAGGAGCAGCCAGGACUAGAACUGGCACCCAUAUGGGAUGCUGGCACUGCAGGUAGAGGAUUAACCUGUGGUGCUAUGGCAUCGGCCCCGAUUGUCAUUCUUAGCAUAACCUGUUUUUUCCUUCCCUAGGAGCACUAACAAUGAUGCUGUUUGUUUUCCGAGUACCUCAAAUUGUAGUAGUAGUUCAGGUUUCUUUAUCAUUAUUUUUCUUGCUGGUGGGAACUAUUAGGAACUUCUAAAGCUUUUAAAGUGGGAGAACAUGUAAGGCAGAAUGAAAUGUGAAUGGCUGUAUUGAAAAGAGCAUGAGAAAAUACAAAACAUACUUGCUGAGAGAUUUCUAGUGGACCUUAGGUCUGGGUUUCUGAGAUGAGAGUUUAGGUUGGUUGGAUCCUCAGACCCUGUGCUUUCAGACUGCUAUAUUGCUUCUGCUAUCAGUGCUGUGUGGUUUAGGGAAGUGUCACAUCAUGUGUCCAUGAGUACAAGAUUAGGUCUUGAUCAUGAACCAAGAUUACAUACUUGCCACUUUUAACUGACCAAAUAGUAGUAAAUUAUGUUCAAGGUCUUUGCUUUUAUAAAGUUACCUGUAAAAAGAUAGUUUUCUAAAGUAACUAUAGCAUUUUGAGCCGGCGCCGUGGCUCAAUAGGCUAAUCCUCCACCUUGCGGCGCCGGCACACCGGGUUCUAGUCCCGGUUGGGGCGCCGGAUUCUGUCCCGGUUGCCCCUCUUCCAGGCCAGCUCUCUGCUAUGGCCAGGGAGUGCAGUGGAGGAUGGCCCAGGUGCUUGGGCCCUGCACCCCAUGGGAGACCAGGAAAAGCACCUGGAUCCUGGCUCCUGCCAUCGGAUCAGUGCGGUGCGCCGGCUGCAGCGGCGGCCAUUGGAGGGUGAUCCAACGGCAAAGGAAGACCUUUCUCUCUCUGUCUCUCUCUCUCACUGUCCACUCUGCCUGUCAAAAAAAAAAAAAAAAAAAAGUAACUAUAGCAUUUUGAUUUCAAAAUGCUAUAGAUUUUUUAUAUAUACAUACACCUUGCAAAAUGAGGUAGUGAUUGUAUUUCCAUUAGAAUACAUCAACUUGGGUUAAAAUUCAGUAAACAUGAUUUAAAAUUAGGAAAGAAAAUUGAGUAGAUAAUUUCUUGGUUGGUUGCUUUUAGUUAGUAGAAUUUUCAGCUUUUGUGUACUUUAGGGGGUAAAAAUUGUUUUUCAAAUAUCAUUGAGGGGCAAAAAGGAACUAGAAUAUCCUGAAGAGGUUAAAUAUAGACACAUUUUAAGGACUAUGCCUAUGCUUCAAAACAUUAUGAAAAAUUGUUGCUUUAUCUUUUGUGAAUAAAUCAUUUGUAAAAAACAAGGUCUAAGUACAUUUGAUUACAUGACAGAGUCCUCCCCAUGGGAAUUUGGUUACUUCUCUCCUUAUUCCACAUAUUUUUGGAAUAUCUAACUGCCUCAAAAAAAAAAAAAAAAAGGAGCUGGAUAGAAUGAUCUUUUAAAAUUCCUUCUAACCUUGCAAUCUUAUUAUUUUCCCCCUUUCCUUUUCUUCUUUCUACCUCCUUUAACCAUAAUAAAGAUGUGCAUUAUUCACUAAAUGGAAUUACUUCCCUUAAUUUAAAAUGGCAUUAGAAUGUCUCUCUCUCUCUAAAGAGAAUUAUUUAUUUGGAAGGCAGAGGCAGAGAGUGUCUUUCAUCGGCUGGUUCACUUGCCAGAUAGUCGCAACUGCCGGAGCUGGGCUGAUCUGAAGCCAGAACCCAGGAGCUUCUUCCAGGUCUCCCACGUGGGUGCAGGGGCCCAAGGACUUGGGCCAUCUUCCAUUGCUUUCCCAGGCCAUAGCAGAGAUCUGGAUCAGAAGUGGAAUAGUUGGGUCUUGAACCAGAGCCCAUGUGGAAUGCUGGCACUGCAGACAGUGGCCUUACCUGCUACGCCAUAGUGCUGGCCCCACCAAUUGUUUUCCUUCAAGAAAUAUUAUUAGUCUUUUAAUCUGAUAACCAAAACAAAUAUUCAAAUUUAUAGUCCUUAAUUAGGUUUGGCUGUCUUUUACUGUGUUUUGUGACUGCUUUUUUUUUUUUUAAAUAAAUGUUUUGUUUGUGUUUUCUCAUAUUUCUAAUUGUUUUAUGAGCCCUUUGCAUUUUAGAAAGGAAAACUUUUAUUUCUUGUAAUAUCAUAGAUUUUAUUCUACCUCAGUUUUCUUAUGACUUGAUUUAUGGAUUAGUAAUGCUAUGUGUGUUUUUUGCCCUCCAGAAGUUUAAGGCAUGUGUUUUUCUUUUUUAUGAUUUCUUUUUUAUUUUUUUAUUUUUUAUUUUUGACAGGCAGAGUGGACAGUGAAAGAGAGAGAGAGAAAGGUCUUCCUUUUGCCGUUGGAUCACCCUCCAAUGGCCGCCACGGCUGGAGUAUCGCACUGAUCCGAAGGCAGGAGCCAGGUGCUUCUCCUGGUCUCCCAUGCGGGUGCAGGGCCCAAGCACUUGGGCCAUCCUCCGCUGCACUCCCGGGCCAUAGCAGAGAGCUGGCCUGGAAGAGGGGCAACCGGGACAGAAUCCGGCGCCCCGACUGGGACUAGAACCCGGUGUGCCGGCGCCGCAAGGCGGAGGAUUAGCCUGUUGAGCCGUGGCACGGGCCAAGGCAUAUGUUUUUCAAUUAUUUGUUUCAUAUGUGGUUUCUGGAUUUGUUAUGUUUUAAAAUGUCUACCCCAUUUUAAAUUUAGAAAAGAGAAAUUUGGGGCCGGCGCUGUGGCACAACAGGUUAACUCCAUGGCCUGAUGCGCCAACAUCCUAUAUGGGCGCUGGUUCGAGACCUGGCUGCUCCACUUCCGAUCCAGCUCUCUGCUGUGGCCUGGGAAAGCAGUGGAGGAAUGCCCAACCUCUUGGGCUCCUGCACAUGCAUGGGAGACCCAGAAGAAGCUACUGACUCCUGGCUCUAGAUCAGCGCAGCUCUGGCCAUUGCGGCCAGUUGGGGAGUGAGACAGUGGAUGGAAGAUCUCUCUCUCUCUCUCUGCCUCUCCUCUGUGUAACUCUGAUUUUCAAAUAAAUAAGUAAAUCUUAAAAAAAAAAAAAGAGAGAAAUUCACCUGUUUUCUUCUGAUACACUGCUUCAUUUUCUAUAUUAUCUUUGACCCAAAUGGAAUUCAUGGAAUUUGUUUUUGUUUUAAGAAAUACAGUGUAGGAAUUUGCAUUCAAAGGAUAGAGCAUUCACCUGGCACCAUUUCUUACUGCUUAUGGAAUCAUAUAUAUGUAUGUUUAUAUAUUUAGCUAAUUAAUUUUGUUUGUACUUGUUUCUGAACUUUGUUCUUGCUGUUUUCUUAUUCCUUUCUCUCCCUUCAUUUUAUUUGAAAGGCAGAGAGAGAGAGAGAGAGAGAUCUCUUCUGUUUGCUGGGUCACUCUCCAAAUGCCCAUGACAGCCAAGGCUGAUCCUGGCCGAAGCCAGGAGCCCAGGAUUCAAUGUAGGUAGUCCCCAUGGGUGGCAGGGUCACAGAUAUUUGAACCGUCACCCUCUGUUUCCCAGGGUGCACACCCUCAAGAAGUCUGAUUGGAAGUGGAACUGGGCAAUCCAGUGUGUCCCAAGCAGCAUCUUAACUGCUGUGCACACACACACACACACACACCCUACACACGCACACACACCUACACACACACAAACCCUGCCAUCUGCUUAUUCUUAUACAGCUCCCUGCCAUUAAAAUCUUUAAAUUUUAUAUGACAGUAGAACAUACACAUACAAAUACACCAAUUUUAGCUUGGUGAAUUUGACAGUCCAAUGUAACCAGCAUCCAGAUUAAGAACUACAACCACAGAAAACACUCUGGGACCUUCAGUCACUAAAAUUCACCCUCCUCCCCUGCCCAGCCCAAGGGUAGCCACUGCUCAGAAUUUUACCUGUGUGUGCAUUUUGUAUGAUGGGGAUCAUGCCUUUUGAGAUUCAGUUAUGUUUCUCAUUGCUGUAUGUACAUACACUACUAAGUGAACGUGCACUUACCUGCUUGCUACACUUCUUAAUGAUUGCUUAAACACCUACCCCUGCUGGCAGCCUUUGGUGUUUUGUUGUUGUUUUGUUUUGUUUGUCCAUUUAUUCUCCCACUAGCAGUUUACUUCAUAUCCUUGCUGUUCUUUGUUUUACUUUACCUCUUCAGCUAGGUUUAUAAAAUGCCCAGCCAUGCUAGUGCACAGGUAUGUUUGAUUUGCUGUCUAGUGUAAGUUCCCCAGAACUUAUUAGUUUUGCUGUUCAUUCAUCAAGAGGAUCUUUAUAAUCAGUUAGAGGUUUAUAAAUACAUAUUGGGGUUUUUAUUUAGAAUUGUGUUAAACUUAGAUUGUAUUGGUGUGAACUGGCAACUUUGCAAAACUGAGCCUUCUAAUUCAGACAUGUUUUUUCAUUUAAUUUUAGGAUUUUAUAAAAUGUCCUAAAGUUAUAUGGCAUCUAAGUGGAUUCAGUGUUGUUUUGUGCCUUGAAAAAUGUGAAUAGGAUUUCUCCUUUUUAUGUUUUAAAUUGAAAUUGAGUGAAAAGCCUUAAAUGAAAUGAAAGGAAUGAAAGUCUUAAGUUGUGUUUUUCUUUAAUAUUCUGCUAGAUUGUUUCUGUUGGAUAUUAUUUUCAGUAUUCAUUGAUUUUCAUAAAUGAGAUUGACAUGUUUUUUUUGUGUGUGUCUUUCAUUUUUGAUGUUUUGUUAUUUUCCUUUGUGAGAGAAAUUGGCAAAUUGUCUUUGAUCUGCUCGCAGGAACAGUUCAGAUAGCUUUAGAAUGAUCUAUUUAUUGACAGUGUGAUGGCUACUGAAAUCAUUUGGACUUGUUGAAUUUUGGGAAUAUAGUUAUAUGCUUUCUCAAUUCUUUCUAAGAUGUUAUCCAUAUAGAUUUACUGGUUCUUGAGUCCAUUUUGUUUUGCUGACUUGUCUUUUAGAAAAUGUUUAAUAAUUUGGACUUCAUUGUCAGAUUUUUGAGCUUGAGUGAAGAGAAGUUUCUUACAAUUUUUAUUUGUUCUGUAUUUUUUUCAUUUUCAUUCUUAUGUAGUUAUGGUUUCUCCUGUUAAAUUUUGAGUAUGAUUUACAGGUUAUGUUGAAAUUUUAUCAUAUGCAGUCUUUGGAUUUUUUUAAAAAAUUUACUUUGUAUUUAUUUGAAAGGCACAGUUACAGAGAGAGAAGGAGAGACAGAGAGAUCUUUCAUCUGCUGGUUCACUCCCCAAAUGGCUGCAAUGGCUGGCGCUGUGCCAGGCCAAAACCAGGAGCCAGGAUCUUCUUGUGGGUCUCCCACAUGGGUGAAUGGGCCCAAGGGCUUGGACCAUCCACUGCUGCUUUCCCAAGCACAUUAGCAGGGAGCUGUAUCAGAAGUGGAGCAGCUGGGUCUUGAACCAACGCCCAUAUGGGAUGCUGGCAUCUCAGGCAAUGGCUUAACCCUCUGGGCCAAAACACCAGCCCCUGGACUUAUCAUUUCUACUAUUUGUGUGUGAGUUUUUGUUAACAUAAUUAUUAAUUUCUCUUCCCUUAUUUCCUAGAUUCAUUUAAUUUUUCUGACUUUUGAUUGCUUAUUCAUUAUUUUCUAUACUUACUUAUCUCUCUCAUGUUAUAGAUUUAGCAGUUAUCUGUACAUAUAAAAUAACAUAGCAGUUUCAUUUAUGAAAAUUGAUGAAUGUGCAAAUAAAAUAAUGUCCAACAGAAAGGAUCUAGUAGUAUUUUAAAGAAAUAGUACACCUUAUUUAGACUUUCAUUCCAGUUGAUAAAUAUGAUAGGGGUUUUGUUCUCAUUGUAAUUUUCUCUAUAAUCUAUAACUGUGUAUCUUAAUUUCUUCUUUGCCCAAAUGGUCAUUUAGGAAAGGCUAUUUUAAAUUCUAAUAGAUUGGAGAACUUUGUCUUUAGAAAUAUCCAGUUUUAUCGCCUUAUGAUUAGAACGUUUAAUCCUUUAAUAAUUAAUGAAGAUCUUUGUGGUCUAAUAUAUGUUCAGUUUUUGUGUACGGUUGUGAAUCCUUGAACAGAACUGUAAUUCUCCUCAUGAGGUAGAAUUAGUUGUUUGAGUGUGUACUUAUGUCCCAACUUAACAUUUUUGAUACUUUUAAUUUUUCCACUUGCUUCAUUAAGGCCUAAAAGUAGCCAUUUACAAUACUGACUGAUGUUUUUAUGACAGUUUUUCCUUUUGUUGUUACCGUUUUUACAUAUGUGUGUGUGUAAUUUUUUCACAGUUUGGUUGAGGUGUAAUUGAGAAGCUACCUACAUGGAAGCAUAAAAUUUGAUACAUUUUGGGUAUAUUUACAAAGCCACGGUCAGGUAUUCAGCAUCCCCAUCCACCUAUCUUAGUCAGCUUCAGGCUGUAGCAACAAAUUAUCUCGUAGUGACAAAAUACUACAGUCUGGAUGACUUAAACCAUAGGUACUUACCUCUCAUAGUUCAGGAUGCACGGUUAGAUCACAGGGAUGUCUUCUCUUGUCCUUAAGUGGUAGAGAUCUAUCUUCUUUCAAAGAGGGUUCUACCUAGUAACACCCCAAGGGCCACCUCCUAAUGUGUCACAUUGGCACUUGGGAUUUCAACAUCUGGAUUUGUAGAGGGGGAUGCAGACAUUCAGCACACAAGAGCUCACAUAUUUCCUGAUGUGCUUCUGCAAUCCCCUCCUUGUCAAUCCGCAUCCCCAGGCUGCCUUGGAUGUGCUCCAGUGUGGAUUAGUUCCGUUAUAGGUUAGUUUGCCGUCACUGGAAUUUUAUGUUAAUGGAAUUAUCCACUCUAUUCUUUUCUGAUUGAUUUUUUUUUUUUACUCAGCGUAAUUAUUUUCAGAUUCAGUCAUGUUGUAUGAUAUUAAUAGUUCAUUUCUUUGGCAACAGCAAUUUGUGUACCGUUUAUCCAUUAAGAUACUUGGGUUAUUUGCAAUUUGGGGCUACUACAAAUGAUAUGUUAUGAACAUUUGUGUACAGAUCUUUGUGUGGACAUGUUUUUAUUUUUCCUGGAUCAUUUGAUGGGUUGAGUCAGUCUUCUGGGGGUUCAACAUCUGUGAAUUCAACCAACCACAGAUCAAACAUAUUUGGAGAAAAAUUGCAUGUGAACUGAACAUGUACAGACUUUGUGCCUUCUCAUUCUGUAAACAAUGGAAUAUGACAGCUAUUUAUGUAGAAACCCAGGUAUGACCUGUUAGCCUGUCUAUAAGUGUAAUGAUAUCACUGUGAUUUUUAUUUCACAUUUUCCUAACACCUGUCCCAUCCUGCAUGUGGAAAUCCAAUUUUCCCAGCACCAUUUGUUGAAGAGACUGUCCUUGCUCCAGGGAUUGGUUUUAGCUCCUUGGUCAAACAUAAGUUGGUUGUUGAUGUUUGGAUUGAUUUCUGGUGAUUCCAUUCUUUUCCAUUGGUCUAUCUAUCUAUUUUUGUAUCAGUACCAGGCUGUUUUGAUUAUAACUGCCUGUAGUAUGUCUUCAUAUCUGUAAUUGUGAUACCUCCAGCUUUGUUUUUGUUGUAUAAGAUUGCUUUGGCUAUCUGAAGUCUCCUGUGUUUCCAUAUGAAUUUCGGCAUCAUUUUUUCCAGAUCUGAGAAGAAUGUCUUUGGUAUUUUGAUUGGUAUUGCAUUGGAUCUGUAAAUUGCUAUUGGAAGAAUGGACAUUUUGAUGAUAGUGAUCCUUCUAAUCCAUGAACAUGGAAGAUUUUUCCUUUUUUUUUUUUUUUGGUAUCUUCUUCUAUUUCAUUCUUCAAUGUUUUGGAAUUCUCCUUGUAGAGAUCUUUGACAUCCUUGGUUAAAUUUAUUCCAAGGUAUUUGAUUUUUUUUUUUUUAUAGCUAUUGUGAAUGGGAUAGAUCUUAGAAGUUCACUCUCAGCCUUGGCAUUGUCUGUGUAUAGAAAUGCUGUUGAUGUUUGUGUACUGAUUUUAUAUCCUGUUACUUUACCAAACUCUUCUAUGAGUUCCAAUAGUCUCUUGGUGGAAUCUUUUAGAUCCCCUAAAUAUAGAAUCAUGUCAUUUGCAGAUAGGGAUAGUUUGACUUCCUCCUUCGCAAUUUGUGUUCCUGUAAUUUCUUUUUCUUGCCUAAUGGCUCUAGCUAACACUUCAAGGACUAUAUUGAUAACAGUGGUGAGAGUAGGCAUCCUUGUCUGGUACCUGAUCUCAGUAGGAAUGCUUCCAACUUUUCCCCAUUGAAUAUGAUGCUGGCUGUGGGUUUGUCAUAAAUUGCCUUGAUUGUGUUGAGGAAUAUUCCUUCUAUACCCAAUUUGCUUAGAGUUUUCUCUGUAGCUAUUGAAAUAAUCAUAUGGUUUUUGUUCUUCAGUUUGUUAAUGUGAUAUAUCACAAUGGUUGAAUUGUGAAUGUUGAACCAUCCCUGCAUACCAGGCAUAAAUCCCACUUGGUCUGGGAGGAUGAUCUGAUGUGUUGUUGGAUUCUAUUGGCUAGAAUUUUGUUGAGGAUUUUUACAUCUGUGUUCAUCAGGGAAAUUGGUCUGUAAUUCUCUUUCUCUGUUGCAUCUUUUUCAGGUUUAGGAAUUAAGGUGAUGCUGGCUUCAUAGGAAGAAUUUAGGAAGAAUCCCUCCCUUUCAAUUGUUUUGAAUAGAAGAAUUGGAGUUAGUUCUUCUUUAAAUGCCUGGUAUAAUUCAGCUGUGAUGCCAUCCGGUCUUGGACUUGUUUUUGUUGGGCAGGCCUUUAUUACUGAUUCAAUUUCCUUCUUGGUUAUGGGUCUGUUUAGAUUUUCAAUUUAGGUAGGUUGUAUGUGUUCAGGAAUCUAUCCGUUUCUUCUAACUUUCCCAGUUUGUUGGUAUACAGCUGUUUGUAGUAAUUUCUAAUGAUUCUUUUUAUUUCUGUGCUAUCUGUUGUUACAUUUCCCUUUUCAUCUCUAAUUUCAUUGAUUUGGGUCUUCUGUUCGGUUAGUUGGGCCAGUGGUGUGUCUUUUUUUUUUUUUUUUUCAGAAAACCAGCUCUUCAUUUUGCCGAUUUUUGUAUUUUUGGAUUCAAUUUUGUUGAUUUCUUCUCUGCUUUUAGUUUUUCUUUUCUCCUAUUAGUUUUGGAUUUGGUUUGCUGUUGUUUUUCUAGAUCUUUGAGAUGCAUUGAUAGCUCAUUUAUUUGGUGCCUUUCCAAUUUCUUGAUGUAGGCACCUAUUGCCAUAAACUUUCCUCUUAAUACUGAUUUUGCUGUACCAUAUGUUUUGGUAUGUUGUAUUGUCAUCUUCAUUCGUUUCCAGGAAUUUUUUUAUUUCUUUUUUGAUUUCUUCUAUGACCCACUGUUCAUUCAGGAGCAUGUUGUUCAGUCUCCAUGUGUUUGCAUAUGUACUAGGGAUUCCUGUGUUGUUGAUUUUCAGCUUCGUUCCAUUGUGGUCCAAGAAGAUGCAUGGUACGAUUUUGAUUUUUUUGAAUUUGCUGAGACUUGCUUUAUGGCCUAGCAUGUGGUCAAUCCUAGAGCAAGUUCCAUGCACUGCUUAGAAGAAUGUUUAUUCUGCAACUGUAGGAUGAAAAGUUUUGUAGAUAUCUGUUAAGUCCAUUUGGUCUAUAGUGUCAGUUAACUCUGCUCUUUCCUUGUUGAUUUUCUGUCUGGUUGAUCUGUCCACUGAUGAAAGUGGGGUAUUGAAGUCCCCCAUUACUAUUGUUUUGGUGUCUGUGUUUCCCCUAGAUCCGUCAACAUUUCCUUUAAAUAGCUGGGUGCCCUGUAAUUAGGUGCAUAUACAUUUAUAAUAGUUACAUCUUCCUGUUGAAUACCCCAGGGUGUAUUCCUAGACCCUGUAAUUUACUUUUACCAAAACUUUUAAGCUCUGUUAAGUCCUUUCAUGUGUGGUCUCACUUGAGCCCUUUGACCCCUAAUUUUCUCAGGCUGCACUGUGGUAUAAUUCACCAUAUUCCUCUGUCCUCUUGUAUUGGUAUAUUAGCAGUUGAAUCCAGCACUUGAUCAUAUUUGGGUUUAAUUGUAUCUUGUAAUUUUUUUUUUUUUUUAACUCAAGGGACCUGUAAUGUCAAGUUCUCAUUAAUGUUCAAUGCCUAGAUUUAUUAUUCAUCCGGAUUGUAAGUGGUAUAUUUGAAUUGUCAUUUUGUCUUCAUUUAUUUAUUUUUUUUUUAAAGAUUUUAUUUAUUUAUUUGAAAGGUAGAGUUACAGAGGCAGGGGCAGAGAGAAAGAGAGACAGACAGAGAGGUUUUCCAUCUGCUGAUUCAUUCCCCAAAUGGGGGCAGCAGCUGGAUCUGGGAUGAUCUGAAGCCAGGAGCUUCUUCCGGAUCUCCCACAUGGGGACAGGGGCCGAAGCACACUUGGGCCAGGCACAUUAGCAGGGAGCUGGAUUGGACGUGGAGCAGCCAGGACCUGAACCAGUGCCCAUAUGGGAUGCCGGCACUGCAGGCGGCAGCUUAACCCGCUACUCCACAGCGCCAGCCCCUUGUCUUCAUUUAUUAACUGCAGUGGUUUUAUAAAAAGAUGCUCAUCUUCAUUUACUGUUUGGUUGUUGAAAUUAUUUGCAGACGUCUGGAUAAAUACUUGACUCUUUCCUUUUAUUUAUACUGUUUUCAAUGGAUUCCCUGUCAUCGUCAGAAGAUGGUAAGUUAGAUUCUUUUUCUGAAUCUCUGUGAUCUCAGGGAUUUCAGCGUAGUUGAUGGGUCCCAAUCCAUUGCUGUUUUCAUCCUCAUGGAAGCUCACAUUGUGCUAUCACUGACCAACAGAAGCCUCAUAACCUGGCUCCAGAAUACUAUUGAUCCGGCCUGAGAAGGCCUUGAUAGCUUUUUUUCUGUUUAGUAUGUCCAGAUGUUUCAUGUUCAUCUUUUACCUUUCUUGCCCAGGCCCUGAAUUAAUCAUUUUAUUCCACAAAUCCCUGGUUUAAUUUCAUUGGAGGGGAUGUUUCAUUAUAGGCAGAUGUUGGAUGCUCAUUAGUAUUAUGUUGAUCAUUGUUUCUGGGCCUUCCAAAUGGACAGAAGUAGAAUGCAGGUACAUGUGUAAAUUAAAAAAAUAAAAUAUUGGGGUGGGCCUUGUGGUGCAGAGGUUAAGCAGUGGUUUAGGAUGCCCAGAUCCAUAUCAAAAUGCCUGUUUGAGCGCUGGCUAUUCCACUUCUGAUCCAGGUUCCUGCUAAUGCUCACCCCAGGAAGCAGCAGAUGAUGGCUUAAGUUCUUGAGUCCCUGACACCCAUGUAGGAGACCCAGAUGGAAUUUCUUGGUCCUGGCUUUGGUCUGACCCAGUUAUGACUUUUCUGGACAUUUGGGGAAUGAACCAGUGGAUGGCAAAACUCUCUUUCUACUUCUCUGUUGUUCUGCCUUUCAAAUAAAUAAUAACUUAAAUAUUUUGAGUUCAUACUGAUACUUUCAAUUAAAAUUCCAAAUUCUGUAUUUUAUCUUUACUUUUUGUUGAAAUACAUAAUAGAGAAAUGCACAGAUCUUCAGUGUCCAGCUUGGUGAACUUUGACCAAGUAAUAGUUUGGUUAACACCCAUAUAACCAGCUCCUAGAUCAGGAAUCAGAACUUCACAGUACCCAGACCCCAUCAAGCCCUUCUCCACCCCACCAGGUAAUUCCUGUCUUGCUUUUUAAGAUCAUAGAUUGCUAAGACAGAACAUCUUUUUGAGAGCGUGACUGAGAUCACCAGUUGAGGGCUGAGGGGGAGGCAGGCUCCAACCGAGUGAUGAAGUUUUAUAUGGUAGGUUGUGAUUGGAGAGAGCUGUAGAAUGCCUGUCACCUUCCCAUGUUCCCCUAGUGAAAUAGGCCACUGGAGCCUGGCACUGAGCCGGGAGAGUAUGGACUUCAAGCCCCAGUGUGUCUGAUUUUUCUGGGAAAGUCAUCUACCCUCUACUCAUAUCUAUUAUGUAUUAUAUUUCUGUUUUCUUUCUUGCACACUGAGAAUCCUGGUUUCUCAGCUUCACGUGGUAAUCACAAGAUAGCUUGGGCUGGUUUUUUGUUUUUUUGUUUUUUUUUUUUUAAAGAUUUAUUUAUUUGAAAGAAUUACACAGAGAAAGGAGAGGUAGAGAGAGGUCUUUUAUCCCAUGGUUCACUCCCCAAAUUGGCUGCAACGACUGGAGCUGCACCCAUCUGAAGCCAGGAGCCAGGAGCUUCUUCUGGGUGUAGUGGCCCAAGGACUUGGGCCAUCUUCCACUGCUGUCUCAGGCCAUAGCAGAGAGCUGGAUCGGAAGUGGAGCAGCCGGGAAUCAAACUGGCACCCAUAUGGCAUGCCAGCGCUUUAGGCCAAGAUAUUAACCUGCUGUGCCACAGCACCGGCCUAGCUUGGGCUAUUCUAACAAAUACUACAGACUGAGUGCUUAAACAACAGAUAGUUAUUUCUGCAGUUCUAGAGGCUGGGAAAUCCAAGAUCAAGGUGCUGGCUGAUUGACCAUUGUUUCUGGGCCUUCCUGGUGGCUGGAACCAGAUGUAUGUGUAUAAAAAUAAAAUGCAGUUCCUGGUGAGGGCCUGCUUCAGGUUUGCAGUUGGUCCCUUCCCCAUUUGGGGAAUAUAGAGACAGAACAAGCCUUCUGGUCUCAUGCCAUUGUGGGAGCUACACUUGGGGCCUCACUGAUAGCUAAUUUCUUCCAAUGGUCUACCUCCCAAUAUUAUCACAUUGGGGUUUAGAUUUCGAAAUAAGAAUUUUGGAAGGACCCAAAACAUUCAGUGCCUAAUACAUGGGAUGAUAGAAUAUCAUGUAAUUUACCCAUUUACUUUGUCUCACAGCACACAUAGGAAGUCUGAAUAACAGCCCUAAUAUUAAUUUUAAUACCACCAAUUAUGACUGCUGAAUACAGUUAACUUUUUUUUACGUAUGUUCUCUCUACUUUUUUUUUUAACUUUUCACAGUUCUACCAUGUUAACAUAUCAUACAAUCAUUAUAUCUAUAAUCUCUUCUUUUUUUCAAAAUUUUAAUUAUUGAAAGGCAGAGUGAUAAGAGGGAAUGGGGAGGCAGGAGGCACCUUCCCUCCAUCGGUUCACCCAGCAAAUGGCUGCAGUGGUUGGGGCUGGUCCAGGCUACAGCAGGGAGCCUGGCCCUCCAUUCGAGUCCUCCACCUGAGUGCUUUUCCAGGCCACUGCCAGGGCGCUGGAUUGGAAGCAGAGCAGUGGGGUUGAAUCUGUGCUCUGAUGUGGAAUGCUGGUGUUGCAGGCGGCGGCUUAAUCCGUUGUUCCACACCACUUGCCCCAGUCUCUCAGCUCUCAUUUUAUCUUAGUUUUGCAAAUUACUCUGUGAUUUAUGCUCUUAUUGUAUUUGUCUCUAUAGUCAUUUUGGUUUUCUGAAGCGUAUUCUUUAGGAGAUCCCUCAGGAAGGACUCUAGAAAACAUUUCUUGAGCUCUUGGAGCGUUGAUAGAUAUCCCUUGAUAGCCGAAGGUCACUUUUGCUGGAUAUAAAAUUGUUGACUUGCAUUUUCUUAAAUAGGUUUCUUUGCUUGCUUCUGAAAUAAAAUAUUGCUGGCAAAGUCCAGUGAUAAUUUUACUCUUCUAAGUUAUGUGGUCUUUUUGCAUAGAAGCCCAAAGGGCUUUUUCUAUAAAGUCUGGUACAGUUUUUGGGCUUUUAGCAAAUAGCUAAAUCUGAUCAUUUUUUAUUUCAUGAAAAUUUUCUUAAAUUACAGUUUCAGCAUUUAUUCUGCACCAUCACUUUGAGACUCCUUUUGUGUGUGUUGAAUCGUUCUUGGCUAUUGUAACUAUUUAUUCCUUUUACACAUUUUGUUGCUUCUUAUUUUUUAUCUAGUCUUCAUUUCAAAAAUGACUUUUUCUUUUACUUGCAUUGUUUCCUUAAGCUUUAUCACUCUUUUCUGUUUUCUUUUUGGAAAAUUCAUCAUGUUCUUACAUGCUUUGUGUCAUUUUGACAUCUUUCACCUCAUUUUCAAAUUGUAUUUUUUUUCAGGGAGGAAUAUGCUUUCAUGUAGGAAUAUCUGCAAUCCAGAUCUUUCCUCCCUGGCCCCAUCACAACUGAAUCUCACACAAAGAUUCAGCUUCAGUACUUUUUAUGGCCUAUUUUUUAUUUGGAAUCAGUUUUCUUCAACCCUUGAAGGAGGCUUGGAUUAUAUAGUUUGUGUUUUACUUUUUAGAGCUCCUCUUGUGGGUUUUGAGCAGACAGCUUACUUCCUCCAUUUCCUGCUUCUCAUCUCCCAGUUUUCUCUCAAUGUUUUCUUUCCUUCCUCUCUGUUGUCCCUGUUUUGCUCAACUUUGAUUCGUGGAAGAGAUGGGGAGGCCAGCGGGUGGGUUCCCAGAGUGGGUGCUGGCCCCUCAGGCCCGCGGUGUCUGUUCUGUGGAGUGGGCCACACCAGUGCAGCCACUUCUCUGAAUGUGCUGAGUUGUGCCAUACAAGGAGGACCUGUGGCUGCUGUGGGUUCUGCUGUCCUGAAGCCCUCAGCCAAGGUGGCUGUGGGGUUGUCCCUCCCUACUUGUCCUAUGGAGUGUAGGAUUUUGGUCUCUUGUUGGAAAUUGUGUAGGUGAGUUUUUGGAUUCACUACCUAGUCUGCUUUUAUAUUUUAUUUAGAGAAAAUUAUAACUUUCUGUACAGAAAAGUGAAGAAAUUUUAUCUUAUUUUCACAAAGAAGAAAAUCUGGUUUUAUAAAAUAACAGUCUUGUCAUGAGGCAUAGAGGGUAGAAUUUAUUAAAGCUUUACAAUUUGCAUUUAACUAAAGGUUAAUGGUUUUAUUGUGAAAUUACCAAAGAGGGGUUAGAGAACUAAUUGCUUUUAUUAGUCACUAACAAAUAACUGAAAAUUAUCUACAAAGUGGCAAGUGGUAACUAUAUAUUAGCAUGUUACUGAGAAGUUCAUCUUAGUGGUUGGUUUUUUAUUAUCUACUAAUUAAGUGGUUCAGAUACUUUAGAGUUUAAAAAUGUGUCUGAAACAUGUUAUUUGUUUUACAUAGUUUUGUCUAUUUAGAUUUAUUUAGAGAAUAUAGCACACUUGAAAUAAAAUUAGCCAUGUUGUGAAAAUGCAGAGAAAAACUGGGAAUUUGAUUGUUCUUUCUGCUCUACGAAUAGUACCCUCACUGCUUUCAUUCACUUGAAGACCACUUUAGUUGUAGGAAUAUUUUGAGUUUUUUAAAAAAUGGGUUUUCUCCUUUGUUUGCAAAGAAUGGAGGAGGGCCCUGGAAGGAAGCUUCUCAAUGCCUUCUCAGCCUAUUUAUGUCAGUGAGACUCUGAAAUCCCAUGCAGAAUGGAGAACUACUGAAGGCAGGCCACCUGAGAGCCCAUGGUAUAGCUGAGACACUAAGCCAUUCCAUCCAUUGAGUACCAGUUUGGGUACCUACCUGUUGAGUGAUAACUGUUAGUUGAAAUUGACUUGUAAAGGGUAUUUAUGUUUUCUUAUAUUCGGUGCCUACCAGUGUCCUUUUCUUCAAAAAUAUACUCUAACUUCCAGUUGUUAGACUGCUGGGAGAAGAUGGUGGGAGAGCUUUGUCAUCCACUGACGGUUCACCAUGAGACAUAACACGAGUCACUGUUGAAGUGCCUUCAGGAUCUCCUUAGGAUGCUUGCAUUUAUAAAAUUCUUCUGGAAUUGAUGUUAAGGGUACAGUCUUCACAGGUGUUCAUUACAUGUAGUCAGUAAUUGUGGUUGAGGCCCACAUUCUCCCUAAGAAUGUUGUUUGCAUUGUAUGCAGUGACCAAAGAACCUCAUCUUGUUCCUCUUCCAACCUCAAAAGUGGAAGAAGUUGCUGCCUCCUUUAGUCAGCACAUUAGAAUGGACAGGCUUAUUAAGUUUACUGUGGGUUGAGGGUGUGUGUUAAGAAAUAGGGUUUUUAGGGCCAGCGUUGUGGUGCAGCAGGCACCCUGUUUGCGAGUGCCUAGAGUGCUGCUUCUGCUUCCCAUCCAGCUUCCUGCUAACACACCUGGGAGCAGCAGAUGCUGGCCCAGGUACUUGGGUCCUUCCACGUAUGGGAAAGCUGAUCGGAGUUCCUAGCUCCUGGCUUAGCCCAGCUCUGGCUUUUGAAGGCAUUUGUUAACUUCCCAGGUGGAAGAUCUGUCUCAUAUUCAUAUGCAUAUUUAUUUACUUAUUUAUUUAUAUAUUUUUUACUCUGCCUUUCACAAUUAAAUUAAAAAGGAAAAACAAAUAGAAUUUUGGACUUAAGUCUUUUUCAUUAGUUUAUUUAAUAUGUUAGCAUUUUUCCUGUAUUUCCUUGUUGAAGAUCUUGAAAUUCUGGUAUAAUGAAGAAAUCCUGAGUUUUAAGUGGGGGAGCCAGAGAGAAAAAGACUGGAGAGGGGAUUCCAAGUGAACUUCCUUAUUUUAUCUCAGUCUCCCAGUGGCUUCAGCAGAGGCUCUCUGCUGCCUGUGCUUCCUGCGUGCAUUGCUGACUUUGUGGAACCGUGUGUUUCCCUUCAUUUUGUCUCUUUAGUCCAUUUGUUCUAAGCAGCCCUUCUUCCUGCACUCUAUGGGGGUGCCAGAGAUAGAGUAGUGUCUGUUGGGGUAGUGGAAAGCCUAGUUUCGGAACCGACUUUGAUGAAGCCUUUGAAGAUGUACACGAUGGGGGCCACGUUGUGUUUUAGUGGGUAAAGCCACCGCCUGCAAUGCCUGUGCCCCAUAUGGUUGCCUGUUCCAGUCCCAGCUGCUCCAUUUCCAACCCAGCUCCCUGCUAAUGUGCCUGGGAAAGCAGUGGAGGGUGGCCCAAGCUCUUGGGCCCCUGAAUCCAUAUAGGAGACCUGGAAGGAGCUCCUGGCUCCUGGCUUUGGCCUGGCCAAGCCCUCUCUGGCUGUUGUAGCCAUUUUGGGAGUGAACCAGCAGAUGGGAGAUCCAUCUCUCUCCCUCUCUCCGUCCCUCUCCCUGUAACUCUGCCUUUCAAAUACGUAAAAUAAAUCUUAAAAAAAAAUGUGGCCAAUGCCAUCCAAGUUUGAGAGAGAAUUCCUCCUAACUGAUCUGGCUGAAGUGAAUGAAGAAAUAAUUCUAUGUUCCUUGACUCCUCUGUAUUUUCACAAUCAUUUCUUUUUUUCUUCCUUUUUUUUUUUUUUUUUUUUUGACAGGCAGAGUGGAUAGUGAGAGAGAGAGACAGAGAGAAAGGUCUUCCUUUGCCAUUGGUUCACCCUCCAAUGGCCGCCGUGGCACUGCGCUGAUCCGAUGGCAGGAGCCAGGCACUUCUCCUGGUCUCCCAUGGGGUGCAGGGCCCAAGGACUUGGGCCAUCCUCCACUGCACUCCCGGGCCAUAGCAGAGAGCUGGCCUGGAAGAGGGGCAACCGGGACAGAAUCCGGCGCCCCAACCGGGACUAGAACCUGGUGUGCCGGCGCCGCAAGGGGAGGAUUAGCCUAGUGAGCCACGGCGCCGGCCCACAAUCAUUUCUUUUCUCUCUUGUGAGCUAGUGUAUUGGUUUCUUGAGGGAAUGAAAACUUAGAGCACAAAGUGAGUAGACGUAUCCAGAAUUUGUCUCCCACACUUCCCUCUCUGCAGACAGUCCUCUAAAGCUCCACACAGCAGCAGGACGGCCCUUCUGUGCGGCCUGCAGCCAUGUCUGCUAGCAGGACCACAGACCCGCUGGACGGAGCUGGCAGCAAGGCUGACCAUGCAUGUCCUGGUGUCAGAAAUAGCAGAAGAAAGUGAGGACAGUGAAUAAAUCCUCACCUUUUUUUUUUUUUUUCACAACUUUCACUCAUAGUUGUAUGUCUACUACAAUGUGUUAUCUUCCUUUUUUUCACUUUAAGCAUGAGCACUUAGUAGUAGCUUAUUUAAAUGGUGCUUUUUUGUUUUGUUUUAUAAGAAUCCAUGAGGUCCUUGUAGGAAAUUUAGACAAUUAUAAUUAGACACCAAGGGAAAGAAAUGACGAGACCCACAAUCACAUUGUGCAUGAAUGUUCCCUGUGUGGAUGGCUCAGUUCAGGCUGUACAUAAGUGCUGUAGCCUGGGUGGCUUAAACAACGAAAAUGUAUUCUGUACACUUCUGAAGGCUGGAAAGUCCAAGAUUUGGUUCCUGGCGAGGGCCUCUUGCUGGGUGGCAGACAUCUUGCUGUCUUCACAGGGCCUCUUGUCUCUAUGUAAAGGGCACUGAACCUCCUCUGGGGGCUUCCAUCCUCAUGGUCUGCUUAACUCCAAAGACCCCAGCUCCAGAUACCAUCACAAUGAGAGUUAGGGCUUCCACGUGAAUUUUGAGUGGACACAAACUUUCAGAUCAGAGCAAUGGGCUAAGGUUUAAUGGAAGAAGUCAUCCUUUAAGUCCCAUACAUAAAUCUUUAUUUUUUUCUCUCCUUUAAAAAAGAUCCUUUUUCAUUGGCUGUCAUAUACUUUUCACAGUGGGAGACAAGGCUGCACCAGUUUUUAUAUUCCAAGAAGAAGCAAAAUUGCUGUUAUUUGUAAGAUGCUGUCCAUUAUAAGAAAUACUCCAGUUCUGUAGGUGAAAGAUUAUGUCUUAAGAUUGCUGAAAUACUGGUAAUCUUGGACUAUAUAAGUAAUACAUUAAUCAGUUUCCUAAAUUAUGUUUUUUAAGAUUUAUUUUCUCAUUUAUUUGAAAGAGUUAGAGAGAGAAAGAGAGAGAGGGGUCUUCCAUCUGCUGGUUCAAUCCCCAGUUGGAUGCAAUGGCCGGAGCUGUGUCGAUCCAGAGCCAGGAGCUUCUUCCGGGUCUCCCAUGUGGGUGCAGGGGUCCAAGGACCUGGGCCAUUCUUCUAUUGUUUCCCCAGGCCAUAUCAUAGACCUGAAUUGGAAGUGACGCAUCUGGGUCUUAAACCAGUGCCCAUGUGGGAUGCUGGCACUACAGGCAGUGGCUUAACCAGCUACGCCACAGCACUGGCCCCUCCUAAGUUAUUUUUAUUAUAAUUUUUGACUUUUGGAUUUAAGAAAGAUUUCUCCUGUUUUAGAAUAUAUUUUUCUGUAUUUUUGUCUAGAAAAUUUUUAUGAUAAGUAAAAAAUACAUUAAUGUGUACAUUUUAAAAAGUAUUUAUUUAUUCGAAAGAGUUAACACAGAGGGAAGGAGAGGCAGAGAGAGAGAGAGAAAGAGAGGUCUUCCAUCUGCUGGUUCACUCCCCAAUUGGCUGCAACGGCUAGAGCUGUGCCGAUCUGAAGCCAGGAACCUGGAGCUUCUGGGUGCCCCACAUGGGUGCACUUGGGCCAUCUACUGCUUUCCCAGGCCACAGCAGAGAGCUGGAUCAGAAGUGGAGCAGCCAGGAUGUGAACUGGCGCCCAUAUGGGAUGCUGACAUUGCAAGUGGUGGCUUUAUCCACUAUGCCACAGCACCAGUUCCAAUGUGUACUUUCUUAAGCAAACGAUCAAACAAUGUUUGUAGCCAGCAUUUUCAUUUUAUUGGUAUAAUGGCGAUACCUUUCUGAAUCGUUAGGUCUCAUUCCGCAAUGUAAUUUUUCAUGACUGUAUAGCAUUUUAUUGUGUUUGAACUGCAGUUUAAUUAGCUGAUCUGUUAUUCAUUGCUUAAGUCUUUUCUAAUUUUUGCUAUUAUAAAUAACACCAUAGCAGACAUUCUUGUGACUAUGGUUUUAGUUUACCCAAGAUUAUUUCCCUGGCUAAUUUUUGUUGGGGCUGUGUGUGUGUGUGUGUGUGUGUGUGUGUAUGUGUAAAAUAACCUUCAUAAAAGGUCGUACCAAUUUAUAUUCCCAUUCAGUAAAAAGGAUCAUGCAGUCUUCUUUAAUGUAAAAAUUUUCCAGGCAUGUGUUUUCUGUGUUUCAAUUCCAUGAGACUCUUUAAUAAUAAUGACAAUGCUAGGUGACAUCUUAUUCUGCACAUUCAUGUAACAUUUAAUGAGUGCCUACCAUUGUGCCUAGGGUACAGAAAUAAGUGCCGUAGAGUCAUAGGGCAUGCAGUAUUUUCCUUGUAGUAGUCACUGCCAACAUGGCCAGAACUGAAUGAGGCUACCCCUUUCUCUACAUCCACACUUGUAUUUAUUACUUUCAGAUGUCUUAACUUUCCCUCAUGUUGGCCAAAAUUACGUAAGACACAAACCCUUGUUCUCCAGGCCCUUAAGGUCUUGGGGAUUGAGUGUGGAAAAGGGAAUUAUCAAGUAGAUAAACAGUAACACACAUGGUGAUCAGUUCUAUUAAAGAGGGAUGAAAAAGGUGCUUAGGCAAACACAGGAGGAGAGGGCAUUAUGGGUGGUAGACAAAGAAAGCAUCGUAAGGUGCUCUGCCAUUUCGAAUGCUGAGUGCUGGAGUUGUUCCCCUGGAGCAGGAUCCAGGUGAGUGGUGAUGAAGGACUUUCCGACAGAACAGCUCUAUGUGCUAAGGCUUUAAGGGAAGCACAAGCGAUUUGAGGGUGUGGUUAGUGGUGGAAGCUCAGACCAGAAAGAUGAGAGACCAGGUCAUGAAAGGGAUCAUGGGGAAAGUCUUAGGUUUUAAAAUAGUCACUGCCAGGUGUUAAAAUAGAUGAUAUGGGGGCCGGUGCUGUGGCGUAACGGGUAAAGCCACUGCCUUCAGUGCUGGCAUCCCAUAUGAGUGCUGGUUCGAGGCCUGGCUGCUCCACUUCCAAUCCAGCUCUCUGCUAUGGCCUAGGAAAGCAGUAGAAGGUGGCCCAAGUCUUUGAGCCCCUGCACACCCGCAUGGGAGACCCGGAAGAAGCUCCUGGCUCCUGGCUUCGGAUUGGCGCAGCUCCAGCCAUUGCAGCCAAUUGGGGGGAGUGAACCAGUGGAUGGAAGACCUCUCUCUCUCUGCCUCUCCUCCUCUCUCUGUGUAACUGACUUUCAAGUAAAUAAAUAAAUCUUGAAAAAUAGAUGAUAUGAUCCGAUUAACUCUGUGAUAUAAUGGAAGGCAUAGAGUUAAUUAUGGUUUGGGUGCGGGAUAAAGCUAAGACGUGACAUUUCCUCAGGAAAUGCAGAGGGUUUUGGGUGUAGGUGUUUCAACUGCCUCCUUGUCCCCAAGCCCUGCCAGUUUGUGUUUCCUAGUAAAGGUAGAUCCAUCUUCAGGCACACAGUUCUUUGCUGUACUAGCUUAUACUGUGUUACCAUUUAUUCCUUUUUAAACCUCCGUGGAGAGUGUAUAUUCGGAGAAAAACACCAUUCCCUCCAGCUCAGUGUCCACUCCGCACAGUCUUUCUUGUUCAAGAAAAAUUGAGAUCCUCAUAACUUUUGCCCCACUCCUGUAGGCAGAUCCUAAGGAUAUUGUUCACACACUUGGCCCAAGCAUCCUCUGGGUUAGGUCCAGCAUACAGAAUGAUUUAUUGCUCUAAUCCACUCCCAGCUUGCCUCUCACAAAGACGUGUCCUGUAUGAAGUCAGCAACAAAUGUUUAGAGAUCUUUGAAAGUGUAAUUCUGACUGUUACAAGUAGAGCAGUGACAACACUUUAAUUCUAAUGCCUAAAAGCAGUAAAGCUUUUAAUAAAUGUGCAUUUCAAUUUUAGUUCCUGGAACCCAUUUGCACCCUCUUUGUGUGCUUGUAUUUAUUUAGAGCCAACUAUAUUCAUGUUUGCCUUGGAGUGUAACUUGCAGCUCAGGAUUUCUCCUCACUCUAACAUUAGACAGUAAAUGAAUUUCUUGUCCUCAUUUUUCUCACAGAAGUUUUUGAAAUAAAAAAUGGGAUAAAUUUACUUCCAACUUCUUAAACUCUCAUCUCUGUAGUCUUACUUGAGAAAUAUUUUUUGCCCUCAGGCAAUUUCUGGCAAUUCCAUUGGAAGAAUUUUUUUCCCUUUGCAUGUGUGAAAAUAUUAUAGGUGGGAAGAAAUAUAUCAUCAUUAUCAUAAUACAAAGGUCUCUAAGAAAGGCUAAAACCAGUACGAAGACAGUGAAGUUGAAGGUCAGCUGGGUCCCAGGUAUGAGAGAGGUUAAGUAAGGUUUGUUUUAGGCUUGGUUGAGAGGGAACCAGAGCAUACUGCAGAAUGCUGUUGCCUUGGACAAGAGCUCUUCACCUACCACCUCUGACAACAAUGCACUUGCUUUGACUUUGGGAACUUGUGAUGUCUCUAAUUGUCCUUUGAUUUUGUCCUUUGAAGAUCAUUGCUUUUCACAGUGAGCUCCUGGCAUUGGAAUAUACACAGGAUCUCUGGAGGAAGUUUGAGAUCUACUGCAUUAGAACAUAGAAUACAGAAAAAAUAUGGUCCUUUGGUCACUAGCAGUAGGGAGAUUACAUUUCUCUAUAUUACAGAGUAGCAAACCACACUGGCUUGUUAGGAGAGGAGAACUGUGGCUAACAGGCAAGAAUGGAAGGAAGGCAUUUCCCUGUUGCCCUUGUUUACCUUUUGAAUUUUAUGCUAUUAAAACAUCCAAGGAAUUUUUUAAAAAUUUGGUGCACUUAAACCAUGAGAUUUAACUAUAUUUCUAAGGAAUUCUAAGGAUUUUCCCUUCAGUAUUAUAGACUUAAAGGAAAAACUAAAGAAAAUGAUUUUCCAUUAUGACUUCUAUUUUAAUUACCACUCUCUUUCUUGUAUCUUACAUCCCUCAAGUAACUUUCUGUUCCUAAAUUCACACAUACGUUUCCACAUAGAAAUCUAAAGAGGGGCAUAAAGCAGAUUAAGAACCUUAGGGGGAAAACUUUAAAAAGUACAGUUGAACGGUCUGACAAGGCCAGGAGCUGUGAAACUAUGGAAAAUGAAAGACGCUUGCUGUGAGGAACCAGAGUGAAUAAAUACUGGAUUCAGUACUGUGUCAAGUCUUGCAAUGUCUUCUCACUGAAAUUAUAGCAAUGAACGGGGAUUACCACAGCAAGAAAAGAAGACCCGUGGGACAGAGUCUCAAACAGGGUACUCGGCUGUGUAACUAGCUUCCCUCCCUCCCUCCCUGUGUGUACUUACAUUGUAUGUGAUGUCACAGCAUCAGUUGUAUUCUGAGAAUUCAAGUAGUGUGGGUAGAGAGUCCACUAUUUGGGAACACAUUUGCUGCCCACAGUUAAUGAUAACGUUGCAGCAGGUAAGUGCAGUGUGUUGUAAGGACUGGGGUUCUGAUGUGUGGGUGAGUGUGCUGGGUAUCCCGUGGCUUGUGGUGGAAGAUCCACAAUUUGUACCUUACUCUGAGGGAGAUAGAAGUUUCCCAGUGAUCCACCUGUAGGCAGAGCAGAUUUAGGCCAGAGUAGCUCCCAAGUGGCCUUUGGUGUCGUAACCAGUGAGAGGUUUUGUUUGUUUGUUUUUAAAGUAGGUAUGAGAAGGCCCCGUCAUAGCCAUGGUGGGUAGCCCCCAGUCACUUAUCCUAAGGGAGUCUGGAGACCACAGCCCUUGGGUUCAGACUUUGAAUGAACCCAUGAUUUAUGCCCUUGAUCUUGAUUAAUCCAAGGAGGGUGGAUGGGGGGGGCACUGGGAGGAGAGAAGAAAAGAAACUUGAGUUCCCUUUUAGAGACCCUCCUCCCCACCCCCCGCCCCUCCUGCUCCCUUGUUUUUGAUGGAGAUGCCUGUAAGACACUUGUGUCUUAGAAAACGCAAAGCCUUAAGCUUGGAUCUUAACCAGGAAGCAAAGAGGAACUGCAUUCUAACUAUUAAGUGUGUAUCAUUUUGUUCGGAUCAGUGCGGUGUGCUGGCCGCAGUGGCCAUUGGCGGGUGAAGCAAUGGAAAAGGAAGACCUUUCUCUCUGUCUCUCUCUCUCUCUCACUGUCCACUCUGCCUGUCAAAAAAAGAAAAGAAAAAAAAAAUUACUGUAAACUGAGAGCAGUUUGACAACUACCAAAUUGAUAAAUAAAGUCAAAUAAACUCACCCCAGUAGUUUUCUUGUAAUGCUAAGUUCUGUCUAAUUCUAGAACUCUAGAAAUGAAGAAGACCUGCUUAUCUUUCUAGAAGUGCAUGUGUUGAAUAAGGUUAUUUUUCUCUGGCUUUGGGAAUUAAUUUUAGUCCUUUAAGACCAGACUUUAGGGACCACAUACUUGGACCAGCUCAUGGCCCUUUCUUCUAUGUUCAAAGCUAGCAGUGGAACAUCCUCAUACAUCUCUAACUCUGACAGUGCUGCUACCUUCUUUCACUUACAAGGCUCCAUGUGCUUACAAUAGGCCCUUCCAGGCAAUCCAAACUAACCACUGCAUUUUCAGAUCCUAAUCACUUCUGCAAAGUCUCUUCCGCAAUGCAAAGUAACAUAUUUAUAGGUUCUGGAACUAAGUUCAAAUGAACACUCAGCUUUGUACCUCAGAUAUCCUUUUCCUUGUCUCUUGCUAUGUAUCAAAUAGAUGAAGAUGUUUAUAAAACAGAGAUUGAAUAUAAAAUAGAGGCUCUUCCCCCAGAGCCUCCAGAAGGAAUUCAGCCCUUAGGGCAUAUUUAGUGAAACUUGUCUGGACUUCUGAUCCCCAGAACUUAGAAUAGUUUGUGUUACUUAAAAAAAAAAAGAAAAAGAUUAUUAGGGCUGAUGCUGUGGGACAGUAGUUAAGCCGCCACCUUUAGUGUCAGCAUCCCAUGUGGGUGCUGGUUCAAGUCCAAGCUGAUCCUCUUCUGGUCCAGCUUUCUGUUUAUGAUCUGGGAGGGUAGUGGAAGAUGGCCCAAGCCCUUGGGCCCCUGUACCUAUGUGAGACCUGGAAGAAGCUCCUGGCUCCUAGCUUCAUAUCUGCCCAGCUCUAGCCAUUGCAGCCAUUUGGGGAGUGAACCCAUGGAUGAAAGACCUCUUUCUGUCUGUACCUCUCUGUAACUCUGCCUCUUAAACAUAUAAAUAAAUAAAAUCUUUAAAAAAUAUUUAUUUUCAUUUUGUUUGAAAGCUAGAAUGGCAGAGACAGAGAAACAGAGAGGUUUUCAUCUGCUGGUUCACUCCUCACAUGGCUGACACUGCCAGGCCGAAGCCUGAAACCCCAGAACUCCCAUGUGAAUGGCAGGGGCUGAAGUAUUUGAGCCAUCAUUUGCUACCUUCCCAGGGUGUGCGUUAGUAGGAAACUGGAUCAGAAGUGGAGCUGGAACUCAACACAGGCACUCUGAUAUGGUAGGCAAGCAUCCCAAGUGGCAUUUUAACUGCUGUGCCAAACACCUGCCCCAGUUUCUAAUUUCAAGCCACUAAGAAGUUUGUGGUGAUUUGUUACAGCAGCAAUAGUGAAACUGAUGUUGUUGAAGAUCACAUAAUUAGAAAAGAAAGUAGUCUAUAAAACCUAGCCUUGAGCUCAACUAAUAUGACUCUAGAGAAUAACUGGCAGGCCAGCUGAACUUGACCCUAGCAUGGUAGAAUGUAUUACAUCUCAUUAAGAAAUGGGACUGUUGGGAAGGGAGUUGGUUAGUUACAUAAUUUGAAGCAGAGUAGCCUGUCUAGUACUUUGUCGUACUUAGAAUAUAACCUAGUUGUAGAGAAUGAUACAUGAGACUAAUUUACACUGAUGUUGUUAAAUAUAUAUUUGAUAACUUAUUUGAUUUCAUUGCUCACCAUAAAACACACAUUUGACUAUAAUUUAGCUUCCUGUGUGGCACAUCUAUAUGGAGAGAAUGCUUUGAGCAAACAUUGGAUCACCUAUGCAUCACUGCUCUCUUCCCCUGCCUUCCUGCCUCAUGAUGGAGCCUUGAUUUUGUAAUCUAUCCUCUCUGGAGAACAAAUCAUGAUUGACCUCAGCCAAUCAGGAUGGACUCAAUUUCUUUGUCAGUGAUUGGCCAGAUGUAGCUGUGGCAGUAAGACAUGUGCUAGGAGUCUGAAGACACAGAUAUUCCUCCCUGAUAAAAAUAUUGAAAGGGGGAGAAAUAAUCUUCCACUGAAUGUUGUCAUGUCUGCAUGUGACACCUAUAAUAAAGGAGCCAUCUUGAAAAUCGUUAAUCCUAUGUGCUGAUGACAGAACAGAAGAACUUGGGCCCUUGAACUUGUUGAACAACUGAAAUAAUAAACCUUGGAGAUGGCUAUUGAGACUUCUUAUUGAGUGAUUAAAAAAAUGAGUUGGUCUAUACGUGGAGUAAUUAAUGUGUUGUGAAAUCAUUGAUUUGUCCUAAAUUAUAUAGUGCCAGGAUUAUUUCCAGCAGAGUUGCUCUGAAAUGGAAAAUAUUAUCUCCCAAGGACACAGUCUUUUUGUCCUUAGAAAUACUAAGCAAAAGUUGAAUAACCACUUGAUGAUUUGGGAUUCCUGCAUGAGGGGAAGUUUGGACUACAUGACCUUAGAUCUUUCUAACUGGAAGAUUCCAGCUUCAUGAUUCUAAAAUCAGAAUAAUGUAGCAAUCCCUUGCUGAGGCUGAGAAAGGGCUGAAUGCACUUAGCUUCUCCAUUUUGGGCCUCUGCAGCUCACCAAGGAUCUCUGCUUUCUUUGAGGGGUAGGUGUGGAACAGUUUCUCAUUUUUCUAAGUAGACGGUUUUCUUUUUUCUGACUUUGUUGUCUAUUGGAUUGGGUCUUUAUUUCCAGAAAGCAGGAAGAAAUAAUUGUGUCAUGAUGUUAAAGUCUUCUUUUAUUGAUAAGAUGCACCGAUCUAGGGAAAGAAGAAAGUAUAUUUGAGUAGAUGCCAGGAAUGUGUGUCUUAUUGUAGUAGUCUUUUGAGCAUAGUUCUUCCUUUUGGAAUAUAGACCAGUUAUUCCAGUCUUAGGUUUUAGGGACAGAAUGAAAUAAUAAUACGUUGGAAAAAUAGUAAUGUAAAUGUUUUUGUGCUAUUUGAGUUUGUAAGUUGAUAAUGAUUCUUUAUUGAGUUAAUAAGUAGUUCAAGUUGAUUUCUCUUUUGAAUUUUAAGGUGAUAGAAGCUAAAUAUUUUAUUUUGUUUGGGUUCAAUCUUUUAUUUUUUUUCCCAGAAGCCUUUUGCUUAAGGAAUACAAACAUGCUUUCAUAAAUACAACUCUAGGAAUACAGUAAUUCUUCCCCCCCCAACCUCUUCCUCCUCCCUCUCCUAUUCCUAUUCUCAUUUUUAUUUUUUUUACUAAGAUCUAUUUUCCAUUAACUUUUUUUUUUUUUUUGACAGGCAAGUUAGACAGUGAGCGAGAGAGAGACAGAGAGAAAGGUCUUCCUUUUUCCGUUGGUUCACCCCCCCAAGUGGCCACUACAGCCGGUGUGCUGCGGCCAGCGCGCUGUGCCGAUCCGAAGCCAGGAGCAGGUGCUUCCUCCUGGUCUCCCAUGCGGGUGCAGGGGCCCAAGCACUUGGGCCAUUCUCCACUGCCUUCCCGGGCCACAGCAGAGAGCUGGACUGGAAGAGGAGCAACCGGGACAGAAUCGGUGCCCCAACUGGGACUAGAACCCGGGGUGCUGACGCUGCAGGCAGAGGAUUAGCCUAGUGAGCCGCAGUGCUGGCUAUUUUCCAUUAACUUUAUACACAUACGAUUAAUUCUAUACUAAGUAAAGAGGUCAACAAAUUGUAUAAAAAAAAACCUGUUCCUCAAUGGGUGAGACAAGGGGUAUUCAAAGUCAUCGCAUCUUGAAGUAUUGCUAUCACUUCUAUAGAUUACCUUUUAGGUGCUCUAUUAGUUAUCUCAGGUUGGGGAGAACAUAAGGUAUUUGUCCUUUUGGGACAGGCUUAUUUCACUAAAUAUGAUGUUUUCCAGUUUCAUCCAUUUUAUUGCAGACAAUGGGAUUUCUUUUUUUUUUUAACCACUAUGUGGUAUUCCAUGGUGUGUAUAACUCAUAAUUUCUUUAUCCUAUCUUCAGUUGAUGGCACUUGGUUGAUUCCAUGUCUUAGCUAUUGUGAAUUGAGCUAUAAUAAACUUGGGGUACAGAUAAAGUUCUGUAGAUAUCUGUUAGGUCCAUUUGGUGUAUAGAGGCGAUUAACUCUGUUGUUUCCUUGCUGAUUUUCUGUCCUGUUGAUAGAAGCUAAAUAAUUUAAAAACAAAAUGCAAAUGAUUAGUCUAUUGUGAACAGUAAAGAACACCAGAAUUACAUUAUUCACAGUGUUUAAUUUUGAGUUGUCUUAUAUUAAAAGUAAGGCACAAAGGUUUAAGUUCAGGUUUUAAUUUCUUUUUUUUUCCCUCUUUUUUUUUUUUUUAAAGAUUUAUUCAUUUAUUUGAAAGAGUUACACAGAGAGAGGAGAGGCAAAUAGAGAGAGAGAGGUCUUCCAUUCACUGGUUCACUCCCCAAUUGGCCACAAUUGCCAGACCUGCACCGAUCGGAAGCCAGGAGCCACAUGGGUGCAGGGGCCCAAUUACUUGGACCAUCUUCUACUGCUUUCCCAGGCCAUAGCAGCGAGCUGGAUUGGAAGUGGAGCAGUUGGGUCUCGAACUGGCGCCCAUAUGGGAUGCUGGCGCUUCAGGCCAGGGUGCUGGCUCCAGAUUUUAAUUUCUUUAAAAAUUUUUUAAAGAUUUAUUUAUUUAUUUGAAAGGCAGAAUUAGAGAGAGAGAGAGAGAAGUCUUUCAUCUGCUGGUCCACUCCCUAAAUGGCCACAAUGGCUGGAGCCACACGGAUCCGAAGCCAGGAGCCAGGAGCUUCUUCCAGGUCUCUCAUGUGUGUGCAAGGGCCCAAAGACUUUGGCCGUCUUUCACUGUUUUCCCAUGCCAUAGCAGAGAGCUGGAUCAGAAGUAGACCUGGGGGCCGGCGCUGUGGCGUAGCAGUUAAAGCCAUUGCCUGCAGUGCCAGCAUCCCAUAUGGGCACCAGUUAGAGACCUGGCUGCUCCACGUCCGAUCCACCUCCGCCACGGCCUGGGAAAGCAGUAGAAGAUGGCCCAAGUCCUUGGGUCCCUGCACCCACGUGGGAAACCCAGAAGAAACUCCUGGCUCCUGGUUUUGGAUCAGCACAGCUGCGGCCAUUGCGGCCAGUUGGGGAGUGAACCAGCAGAUGGAAGACCUCUCUUUCUCUGCUUCUCCUUUUCCCUCUUUGUAACUCUUUCAAAUAAAUCAAUAAAUCUUAAAAAAAAAAAAAAAAAAAAAAAAGAGAAGUGGAGCAGCCAGGACUUGAAUUGACACCCACACAGGGAUGCCAGCAUUGCAGACAGCAGCUUUACCUACUAUGCCACAGUGCUGGCCCCAGGUUUUAAUUUCCAACAUGACCUAAAUAUGCAUGGCGUAGACGAGGGGAGGACUAGCCACAUAGUGUUUAAGGAUCCUUCUCCAUCCCCCCAAGAAACCAUUUAUUUAAGGAGUACAAAUUUUGAAGUACAGCUUGAGGAAUAUAGUGAUUCUUCCCCUCAUACCUGCCCUCCCACCUCCACCCCCCCCCACCCCCGCGCUUUCCCAUUCCCAUUCUCCAUUAAGAGAAAAAGAAGUUCCUCAGUCAAGAUAAGGGCUGUUCAAGUCAUUUUAAACAUUCUUUCGAACUUGAUUGAAGCUUCCUGGGUCUUUGUUUUCUCAUAACGUUAAUUUGGCUUAAACUAUAAGGAAAAUAAAUUAACAUUGGUAGUUUAAAGAUGAUAGUCUUCUCUUGAAGGCUACCACACAUUUCAGAAGCUGGAAGAUGGACUCAGAGUAGACCUAUUUGUCUUCUGGAAUGGUGACCUGGCUGGUAGUUUUGUGAGGUUCCUUCCGGUUUUAGGCUUCUCUUUCUUUAACUUUCCCAAAACCUGCUCGCUCGCUCGCUCGCUCGCUCUCUCUCUCUCUCUCCCCUCUCUCUUUUUUUUAAUUUGAAUUGCAGAAUUAGAAAGGGAGAGAUAGAGAGAGGUCUUCCAUUUGCUGAUUCACUCCACAAAUGGCUGCAAGAGCCAGGGCCAGGCAGGCCGAAGUCAGGAGCCAGGAGCUUCUUCCAGGUCUCCCAUGUGGGGGCAGGGGCCCAAGGACCUGAGCCAUCUUCCACUGCUUUCCCAGGCACAUUAGUAGAGAGCUAGGUGGGAAGUGGAGCAGCCCUGACUCAAACUGGCGCUUGUAUGGAAUAGCAGUGCUGCAAGUCAUAGCUUUACCUGCUAAGCCACAGUGCCAGCACCGCCCUCCCCCUCCCCCUAUCCUGACCGGGAUCCCUUCUGUUAGUGAAACUUUUUGUAGUCCAGCUUCAACUUUUGCCAUCUCCUUAACCUGACGAUCUUUAUAAAACCAUGGCUAACCCUGAGCGUUUAGUUAAUAGAGGCACAUUUGUAUUUGGCAUUUCCCUGUCCCUCUUGAUGUUAGCUGUUUCAGACGUGAUGUAUAGUUCUUGUCAUCUUGCUCUCAGGAAGCCAUAUUGAUCUUCCCUGGGUAGUGAUAGAUUCCAGAUCAUCUUCAUUAUUACCCUGCAACAGAAUUUGUCACUUCUGCCUGUUUCCUGCCUAGUAAGCCUCCAUUUGUUCUAUGGUAAUUGAUGUUAUACUCAACCAUAGAGUUGAGUAUGUCUGUACAUUUUAUUAUGUUGUCCUCCCUCCCCUUUACUUAAACAACAACCCGCGAAUGUCUGAAGGCCUAGUUUGGCCUCCUGUAAUUUGUAGCUUGGGUGCCUGUGACGUCUGUGAGGUCUCCUGUACCUAGGAGGUGGGUGAUUGCCGCUGCCUUACCCCUCCUCCUGCUACUUGCCGCAGUAGCUCAUAGGGCCACUUGGUUUAGUGUUCUCAUUGCCUUGUUGAAUUGCAUGUAAUAAUUUUUUUAAAGCACCCUGUAUUUUCAUUAUACACCUGGUCCAGGAAAUUAUGUAGCCAUUUUGUCAAUGAGCUUUUAUUCAUCGCCUGCUUUUUCUCUUGUGUUUGUUUCCAGCUUCUCCUUGUGAGCUUCCAGUGCUGCCCCGUCCCCUGCCAUAUUUUAAACUUCAUCUUCUUCCUUUUAGUCUUUGUUCACAACCUGAAGUGUUCUCAUAGUCACAGCAUUUGUUUUUUUCAGUAGCUUGAUCAGUUUGCCAAUCAAUUGCAGUUCUUUCUUGAGCUUCACAGACUUUUUUUCCCAUUCUGUUGAGGAGCCUCUGUAAUAAGUUUCUUCAGUUUCUGCCAAUGAGUUCUAUUCUUCAGAAAUUACACACACCUAUUUUGGGUCAGUAACAUUCUGCAUUUAAUUGAAGUGUAACUGUUCACACAGAGUUGGCCCUGGAGCUGACUGAGUUACUGAUGGACUCAAGUCUGUCCCAGUGCGGGCUAGAAAGUCCCUGUAUCAUGUCCUGCUUUGCUGUUGUGCAAUGAGGGAGUUUCAGCUAGAUCACGGAGUAGCACUGAGGGUUUUUGGUUUCUUGAAUGAUUAGUCUCUAGAAUAUGGUUUCAUAUAUAAAGGCGGUUAGAAUUGUUCGAGUGGGAGGGAGAAAAAAAUGAGCAGAAGUGGAGUAUGUUACUAGCACAUUGUGCUAGGGAGAAAGCCCCAGCAGGAUUCUGACGGGGCUGGCUGGGGUGGGGUGAGUAGAUAGUGUGUGAAGAGCUAGCAUUUUAGCUGACGCCUUUCCGAGCUGGGCAGCGGGCUGCAUGACUGGUGAAGGGAGAGCAGUCCCGGAAGAGACAACACAAGUUCAGACGCUCUUAGGAAGGGGCAGUUGGAACAUAGUGAAGGCGCUGCGGAUGUGUGGACGUGUGUUCACGCUGGUAAACAGGUGUGGGGAGAGCUUUUCUGGUUUUGUAAGGGGAGGAUAAUAGUUGCUACAUUUAAGAAUGCUGGAGCCCAGUGGGUUUUUUUUUUUUUUUAAUAUGUAUUUAUUUAUUUGAAAGAGUUACAGAGAGGAGAGGCAGAGAAAGAGAGGGAUCUUCAUCCGCUGGUUCACUCCCCAGUUGGCCACAAUGGCCGGAGCUGCGCCGAUCUGAAGCCAGGGGCCAAGAGCUUCUUCCAGGUCUUCCCACAUGGGUGCAGGGGCCCAAGGACAUGGGCCAUCUUCUACUGCUUUCCCAGGCCAUAGCAGAGAGCUGGAUCAAAAGUGGAGCAGCCAGGACUUGAACCCACACCCAUAUAGGAUGCUGGCGCUUCAGGUGGCUGCUUUAUCCGUUAUGCCACAGCACUGGCCCCCGGAGCCCAGUUUUUUAAAAAUGGCAAACCAGAACACUGCUAGAAGGAAGUUUUCCCCUUGUGCUCAGAUAGUUGCUUGAGAUAAUCAGUAACUCUGUCAGCUCUGGGGCCAACUCAUUGUGAACAGUUAUGUAUUAGACAGUAUUAGGGAAUAAUGACUGGAAAAAAGUCUAUAAGCUCAGUAUACAGUUUUCUAUCUGCAGAUGGUUGAAUCCAGCAGUGUGGAUCCAGUGGAUACGGAAGGCCAAUUGUAUAGUCAAGUGUCUGAAGUGUUUGCAUGUUUCUAACAUAAACAAAUCUCACAUUUCUUUCUAAAUGUGCAGCAGCAGUUCUAAUGGAUUGUAGACAGAUCACAUACUUGUUGGAACUAACAAACUUGACAUUUUGCCCCACCUACCAGCAUAGUUUAAAUACUUGGUUCUUAUUUUCAUUUGAUAGAACAUAACUCUGGUAAUUGCCUGCUAAAAUCUGUAAAUGGUAGUAGCCAUCAACUUUUAGCAUCAAUGGAAGGAAUAGCAUAGUCCAUGAAAAUCAAAAUAGCCUGUGUAUGGAGGCAGAUGUUUGUAUGGUAACUUGCAGAACAUAAUGGCUAGUUACUGCAGGGGUGUCACUGGCUUGUAUUCUUUGCAAUAGAAUAGUAAUUUUUCAGUUAAGUGGAUAUUUGACUUGAGUGUGAAUUGUCUAAUUUUAUGAUCAUAUCGUGGGAGAACUGCAGUACUACCAUAUACCCAGCUAUGACGUACUCCUGAUGCUGUGCUCAUAGGCUAGUGAAGUCUGUAUAGGGCAUUUGUUUCAAAAAGUUUCUUGAGUUCCUAAACAUUUCAUCAUUGCUUGAGAAAAUAAGGAAACUAGCAUUCUUGCAUUGUUGUUUUCAUUAAUCUGUUUGUUUUGAGACUGACUUGUCCAUUGUGCAAGUUUUAAACACCUACUUUAUACAAAAUGUAAAACUAAAAUACCUAGAGAAGUGGCGGACAGGAGCCGGCGCUGUGGUGUAGUAGGCUACACCUCUGCCUGUGGCGCCAGCAUCCCAAAUGGGUGCCAGUUGGUGUUCCGGCUGCUCUUCUUCCCAUCCAGCUCUCUGCUAGUGGCCUGGGGAAGCAGUGGAGGAUGGCCCAAGUGCUUGGGUUCCUACACUCAUAUGGGAGACCCUGAAGAGGCUCCUGACUUUGGAUCAGCCCAGCCCCAGCCGUUGUGGUCAUUUGUGGAGAGAACCAGUGGAUAGAAGACCUUUCUCUGUCUGCUCUCUCUCUCUCUGUAACUCUAUUUCUCAAAUAAAUAAAUUUAAAAAAAGAUGGGGGAUAUGAAAACGACGGCUCAUUCUUUCAAGUUAGGGAUAGACAUCAUUUAGGAGGCUGGAUAGUCAGGUGAGAAGUGCGUAUGUGGAAUGCUCAGCUGGCCUUUCAGAGGCUGGUAGGAGUAGAAGCCACGCUCAAAGAACAAGGAGGGGCAGUCUGUAACUGCAGUCCCCACCACACUUAGGGUAUGGCUCCAAACCUGUGUUGUGCUGAGACCACUUGUCUGGUUUGUGCCUGGCUGAGGACUUUCUCUGUCCAGCUCCCUCUACCUGGAAUGCUGCUGCUCCGGUUCCUUUCCUGGCUAAUUCCUGGUCUGCUGUUACCUCUCUGCUUAGAUGUCACAUCCUGCAAGGGAGCUCACUGGGGCUGCUGUGCAAGCACACAUGAGCUACACCCUGCAGAAGGGCUGCCUGGUGAAAAUCAAGAGUUCUGGCUCCUACUCUCAUUGCCCCAGGUAUUUUUUUCCUUCACAGCCAGGAACAUUGUGAACCCCCAAGUGUGCCCGCUUGUUUAUGCAGUGGAACCAGAGGCUUGCUGAGGGUGGGCCUCUAGGCCUCUACCCCAGGUCCCAGCACCUAGUUAGUUUGCAGUAAACAGUUUUUGGAUGUGUGAACAAAUGUGGUCCGCAAAUGGGAGCAGUAAAGAGAAACAGGAAGAAAGGCAUUAGCUCAAGGCAGUGUUGUGUUGAGGGAAAUGGAUCAUGGAUUGAUUGGUCUCAGGGUCAAGAAACCUGAAUGUGUUUGGAGACAAAAGCCAAGGAGCUGUUGAAGGAGAAGCUGAAGCUAAAAGUGAGGGAGGUAAAAUGAGGUUGUACAGGAGAUGGGGACAGAGAAAGAGUGCAAGAAGGAGAGAAGGGAGAAGAGGAGGCACAAGGGGAGACAGGGGUUUGGAAAUCACAGUCAGCCACCAGCAGAGUGUAGUGAGGGCUGAAGUAAAAUCACACGGUGUCCAGCAGUCUGCUGCUGAUACCGCAGCACUUUGAGUUGUGGUGGCAUGAUAGCCAGAGAAACUGCUGAGGGACAUGUCUGGAGCCUUACCCAGUUGGCGGCCCUGGUUUCACUCCCUGGCACAGAGUCAGGAAUGAUGCAUUGCGACUGUUAGACUGGCCUGUCGCGUUUGGGGGUCGGGGAGAUGUGUGCGUGCGAGUCGGGCUGGGCCAGGGUGCUGAGACCUGCCGUCGUCCUGCGCAGAGGGUUAGCUGUGCCACUGUUUGCUGUAGAUGUGGAACGAAUAUGAAAACUGUAAAGUAAAUGGACAGAUAAUUAUUUCCUAGCAUGUUUGUUGCUUUGCUUCCUACCUGAAAGACUGAUUUUCUUUAGUGAUGCUUUUGGAAGCCUAUACAGUGCAUCUACUCUGUCUGUAAUGCUGGGUGUCACAUAAAAUGGCAAGAUCAUACUUUUUUUAAAAAAAGAUUUAUUUAUUUAUUUGAAAGGCAGAGUUACAGAAAGGCAGUGGGGGUGGGAGAGAAAUAGAUAUGUCUUGCAUCCUCUGAUUCACUCCGCACAAUAGUCAGAGCUGUGCUGAUCUGAAACCAGGAGCCAGCAGCUUCUUCCAGGUCUCCCACGUGGGUGCAGGGGCCCAAGGACUUGGGCCAUCUUUUACUGCUUUCCCAGGCCACAGCAGAGAGCCACAGCAGAGGGACUCGACCGGCGGCCCGGCAGCUGUAUGGGAUGCUGGCACAGCAGGCGGCAGCUUCACCCACUACACCACAGUGCCGGCACCAAGAACAUACUUUUGAAGGAGCUGGGUCUGGAGUCUUAAGAUCAUGGACGAGUUCUGUGGUAACAGCUCAAUUUUACUGGAUUGGCGGCUUCUCCAGGGCAAAAGAUUUGCAAAACAGUUGAUACUGACUUCCCUGGCACACACUGUAGCACACACAGGAGUAGCUUCCAGAGCUUGGGACAUGCGCCUGGUCGUAGGAGUCAGGAGUGAGAGGAGGAGCAGAGAUGGACAAGCGCUGGGAGAAGCAGGCAGUGGCCAGGUGAGAGCAGCACAGGGCCCAGGCCACGUCCCCAGUGGCCGCCACGCGUGAUAGCGAGCUCCUCUGUGGCUGUGGCCACAUGAAUUCCCACGUUCACAAGGUGGCUCCUGGCAGACGGGACUUAGGUUUUUCUGUCUCUUUCUGCUUUGAGGAACGCAACCCACAGAAUUUUGAAAUGCUGAAAUAGUAAAGCAUCUUUGAAAAACCUUUUGGUAAAAUUUUUCCUGGUAGCAACAUUAUACUCUAGAAAUAGAAGAUGUAAGUACAAGGUCCUUGCCCCCAUUCUCGUGUUUUAAGUUUCUUGAGCAGCCUUUUUGUUGCCCUGCUGAAAUCCCGCCUCCCUUUUGUGUGCGUCUCUGGUGUUCCUCUAGCCAUGUUGGAAAUGACAGGCAGCACGUGCCAGGGCAGCAGCAUCAUGUAUGCACUUGAUAAUGGAUCGCCAGCACUUUCCACAGCUACGUGAGAGGUAACCGUUGUAACAAUUAACAUUCUUGACAGAUGCUAAGAUUGUUUUCUGGAUUUCUUCCUUUCCUUUCUGUGUGCUAACAGUACUACUCGAGCGUAGCUGUAAAUACCUUCCUGUACGGACUUUCGUAUUUACAUGUGAAAAGAAAUCUGAAGGAUGUGGAUUUUUGAAACUGUGGUAGAUGAGCAUUGUGUUUCAGAAAGUACCAGUUCCUACUUCUCCCAGGGGCGCAGUUUGAGCGCCGUCUCCCCCAGACUCUUCAGAACCCUCAUCAGACUGCCAGCAUCUCAUUUUGGUGUGAAAUUCUUUUGAAUGGAUUUGAAGAUAUUUUCAUAUGAUAACCAGUUUUUUUCCUCAGUGAAUUGUAGGCAACUGUUAACCAUUUUUCAUUGGGUUAUAUUUUUCAUAACAAUUUGUAAUGACUCUAUCCAUAAUAUGUGUGAGUGUGUGUGUGUGUGUGUAUCUAUACCCAUAAUAUUUGUUACAAAUAUUUCCCUCAAUUUAUUGUUUGUAAGUGGUGUUUUAUUUUGUUUGGCAUUUUUCCUCUUCUUUCUUUUCUUUCUUUUUGUUUUUAAAUCAAUUGUGUCCUUUUUUGGCUUCUGUAUUUAUAGUCCUUCCUGUGCUGUAAAAUGUGUCUUAGGAGCAGCAGGUAAAGCCUUUGCCUGCUGUGCUGGCAUCCUAUAUGGGCACUGAUUCUUGUUCUGGCUGCUCCACUUCCGAUCCAGCUCCCUGCUAAUGGCCUGGGAAGCAGUAGAAGAUGGCCCAGGUUGUUUGGGCCCCUGCACCCACACGGGAGACCUGGAUGAAGCUCCUGGCUUCUGGCUUCCUCCUGCCCCUGCCCCUGCCCCUGCCCCUGCCGUUAUGGCCAUAUGGGAAGUGAACCAGUAGAUGGAAGACCCCCCCCCCCCCCACUCUGUCUCUCCCUUUCUCUGUGUAACUCUGACUUUCAAAUAAAUAAAUAAACUUUAAAAAAUGAAUAAAUAAAAUAUAUCUUAAACAUUUUUACCCAUUUUGUCCACAAAUAUUUUUAUGACUCUCAGGCAUUCAUUUAUGAUAUUUUUUUCUUUUAUAGAAAGCUUUUAAUUUCAUUAUUUAUUUGUGAGGCAGAGAGCGAGUGAGCCCGAGCCCCCAUCUGCUGGUGCACAUCCCAAAUGCCUGCAAGCGCUGGGGGCACCAAGUUGACUUCUAAGAAAUACACUGUUCAGAUGACAGGCUCACAUCUAGUGUGUUGCCAGGUUUAACUCCUUUCUGUAUAGAAGAUCCAGUCCAAACCAAAGAGAUAAUUUAUUAUGAGAAUCUUUUUGACAUUGGACAUUCGUAAGUAGGAAUUGUUCCUAUCAGUCUUUGAUUCUGUCGUUUGUUGAAAUCUAUACCUAACUCACUAGAAUUCAUUGAUCCUGUUAAAUGGGAGACUUCUAUGUAGCAUUUCUGAAGUGACAGAUGGAUUUUUAAGUUUUAUGAUCAGUAUAAUUAAUGACUGGGAAUAAAAUUAGUAAACCAGAGCAUGUCUUCUGAGUGUUAAAAUCUCAUUACAUUAUCCCCAGAGGCCAUGAUUGGAGUGGGAGUAGUGCAAGCUGUACCCUUGUCACAGUAUUUGUGAUGGUGGACUGUAGCUCGUAUAAUGAAACAUGGAGCAGUUGAAGCAAAAUAGAGGUGCAGGGGUGAGGGCAUUGCAGCUGUGAAUGUCACAUGGAUGAGGGUAAAAACUUGAAGGCAAGAUCUGAGUUCUGCAGAGGCCAGUGAGUGCGCCUCUUAGCUACUUUUAGUUUUUGCCAAUGAGUGGUAGCCAGUAAGAGUUGAGAAGAGGUGUGGGCGAAAGAUAGACUCCCUCUGUUGAUGCAGGACAGAUUUGGGGUCUAUAGAUAAGUGAAUGUUUAAAGCUUAUCUAUUAAUUAGUUAUGGUUUUUUCUGAAGUGUAUAACAUGCUGAAAAGAGCAGGACUCUUGCCUUGGCAGGGAAGGAUUGGCUGCUUGCAGAUAAGAUCAGCAUGCAGUUUUCCAUAAUUCAGACGUGACUCUAUCAGAAGAUAAGCCUUUGGAAUUAGUCUGUGAACAUCAGUGGGAAAGAACUUCCAGAGCUUAUUGAUUUAAACUUAGAUGUGACUCCACACAAGUCUUUUUUCCCCUAUAUUUCUUUGUAAGUUGCAAUGUAUUAUUUGAAAGCAUGAUACUGAGACCUAUGGACUUCAAAGUCAGACCAUGUAACUCUUAACUGUGGUCUGGAUACUAAAUUCGUUGGGCUCCUUGAGAAGUUAUAAAAGAUAAUCUAACUCAGAAAUAUGUUUACGUUGCUUUCAGAUAAACAUAGGGCUUUGAUUGAAUCAGAUGCAUCUAUUUUGAUGGUUUAGGGUGAUGUAUCCUAUUUCCCCAAAAUUAAAGAAUUUCAUUGGUAUACACAGAACCAGUAGAGAAAUGCAAAACAUGUCACAGUAAUAUUAAUAUGUAGAUUCUGCUUGAUAAUUUAUAAAAUACCUUUAAUUAGUGUGCAUGAAUGGUAUAAAAUUAUAUUUGUCUUCAGUUCACUACAGUUAGGGCCGAUUCUUUGAGUGGCAGCAAAAUUUCUGAAUUUUAAAUUAUGGUUUCAGUUAAAUGGAGGGACUCUUAAGUGAGUUUUGAAGGUGUUCGGCUGAUUUAACCUUUCACAACAGUCUGGGGCAUUAGGUUUGGGAUCAGAACUACCAGCUUUCUCCACAUGCAGGAGAACUGCCUUUCAGGAUCAGCGCAGGGUUAUGGAAACAAGCUUCACACUGAAGAGGCACAUGAUGACCACGGGUCAGUUACCACGUCAAGAUUCAGGAUCCUUAGUGCAUUUUGCUUUUCAUAAGCCCUAGAAUCUCAUUCUGUUGUCACUUAAAAUAUACCGACCUCCUAUCUCUUGCGGAAACAUAGGAAUCCUCACUUUCUGUCUCCAUAGCAUCAUAGCCCAGACUGAGGACCCGAAUUAGGAAACAGACCCCUGGGCUUGCUGAGGAGGUUGGAACCUGUUGUGCUAAGCAUUUGACAUCUGGCUCUGGAAGCAAUCUUUGUUGAAUGAGUCAGCACUUUGCUUUGAUUGGAGAAAUAGGUUAAUUUUGAUGUACUACUAUCAUUGCUGUUGGUGCCGGGAAUUCUGAAUACCCAAAAAUAUAUUUCUUAGGGCCAGGCCAUUGUUUUGUGUGUGUGUGUGUGUGUGUGUGUGUGUGUGUUUAAAUUUACUUCGAGAGAGACCCUCAGCCUAUCUGCUGGUACAGCCUCCAAAGGCCCAAAGCCAUGAGGUGGGAGGGAAAUCUUGGACCCCAGGUGGGUGGUAGGGGCCAUGACCUCCUGCCUGGGGAGCGGGUGGUGGGGCAGCAUGAGCAGGAAGCUGGAACAGAGAACUAAGCAGGGACUUGAACAAGGCACACGAAGCUGUUUAAGCAUUGCCUGGAAGGAUGCUACCCUUAGCUUGUGGUUCCUCUGCCCACUUUGGCUGCAAAUCAGCUCCACUGAAAGAUCAACUGACUCCAUUAAGGGAGUUCCACUCCCAAGCAGAGUGUCUGGGUUUGAGUCCCACCUCCUCCUUCCACCACCUCAGCACUGGGUCCAAGCUUCUGGAUUCUACAGCAGAGCCAUCCGUAUGGGGUUGGGACUUGGAUUGCUGACAGCUCUCUGAAUGGGAACCUUAAUGUCCAAAGCAGUGUUACUGAACCACCCUCUCAGGACCCCAGAAAACAUCUUUUGGGUUAUUAUGACCCCCACAACAGGACAGAACUACAGGCCUUCCUGCCCAACCCAAACUAGCCCAGACCUUGGUAUUCUUCCGUAAGCUCUGGGAAGCUCCCACCCACCACAGGCUGAGCCAAGAAGCUGCCACCACCCUCCCUCAACCCCCACCCCAGUGUCCGCUGCUCAGCUGUGGAGCUGAGGGGGUGCCGUGGGUGGGAGGCCGCGAAGAGGGUCCCAGGAAACCCCUGCGAGCCUUCCUCAGUGGUGAGGGCCAGGUCAUCGUCAGUGCUUCAGCGUGCCACGGUCCCUUCUUGCCCUGGUAUGUCUAUCAAAACCCAAGGUGCUAACUUCAUUAAUAUUGUUAUAUUAAACUAAAAAGUAAAUGUUUUAUAAUCUCAGGAAGUGAAUAACAUAGAGCCAGCUUGGAAUCGAUUGUCGUUAUUUGUGUCCUCAGUAGCUAACAGGACAAGAAGGGCACCCUUCCAUCCACAGUAGGACUGUGCCUCUCUAUGUAGAAAUGUGUGCGUUUUCACUUUUCUGUGCUAGAAUGCCUUCUAAUUGUUUAUUUGAGUGUCAUGUUAGAGGUUUCAUUCCAUGCUCGUUUGUUCAUUCACAUGUAUUUUUAUUUUUAGCGCUAAGCCAAGGGCAGGAGGCCUCAGCCUGACAUGAGGUGGUUUUGAGGUCAUCUGAUUUCUGACUAGAAGGUGUGUGAUCGCCUCCUCCUGAAACCACUUCAGACGCAAUGGUUUGCAAUUUUUUUUGGUGAUGGCAUGUUCAGAAUCUUGGAUCCCUAAAUUGAAUAUAUUGGAAUAUUUAGGAACCCUGGAAAUUAUAUUUUUGUGUACAUAAUGACUUACUAGGUGAAUCAACAGAUUUAAUAAAAGUACAUAAAAGAGCAGAUAUUAUAAUUUUGUACUUCC